This 64767-nucleotide long non-coding RNA is filed under the name Populus trichocarpa (black cottonwood). RNAcentral describes it as "long non-coding RNA (PTRI_LNC004409)". Lineage: Eukaryota; Viridiplantae; Streptophyta; Magnoliopsida; Malpighiales; Salicaceae. The record is from RNAcentral.
GCAAUAGCAUGGAGAGCUUGGUUUCAUCUUCUUGGUUCCGCUCUGCUCCACUACCAUCUCCAUCUUACAACGGUAUAUUUUCUAGUCUUAAGAAGUUCUUUUGCUCUGGAUGUAGUAGUAUGAAGAAGUUGUUCCCUCUUGUCCUGCUGCCAAACCUUGUAAAAUUAGAAGAGAUUACAGUUACAAAAUGUGAGAAGAUGGAGGAGAUAAUAGGUGGAACAAGAUCAGACGAAGAAGGGGUUAUGGGUGAAGAAAGCAGCAGCAGCAGCAUCACCGAUCUCAAACUCACAAAAUUAAGUUCUCUAACAUUGAUUGAAUUACCAGAACUGGAAAGCAUUUGUAGUGCAAAACUGAUUUGCGAUUCUCUCAAAGAGAUUGCAGUUUAUAAUUGUAAGAAGCUGAAAAGGAUGCCAAUUUGUCUUCCGUUGCUUGAAAAUGGCCAGCCAUCUCCUCCCCCUUCUCUUAGAAAAAUUGAGGUAUAUCCAGAAGAAUGGUGGGAGUCAGUAGUGGAGUGGGAGCAUCCUAACGCUAAGGAUGUCCUUCGUCCCAUUGUACAGUUCUAGUAGGAUGAGUGACGACACUUACUGAGUAAGCAUUAUUGUUUUAAUUGGAUUAAGCUUAAGCUAUUAAUGACUGAUGUGUUUAUUAUAUGACUGAUGUGUUUGACAUUUAUUUAGAGAGUAAAACAUCCUAACGCAUGCGAUGUCAUCCGUCCCUUUGUGGAGUUUUCAUUCGUAAGCAUUCAUGUGAAACUCUUGUAAUUAAAAGUAGCUCGCUCAUAUUAAAAUCAAAUUUGCAGUCAAUCAAAAAUUUAAGGGAUUGAAUAUUUAUAACUUGAAAAGCAUGAGGACCAAAAUGAACUUUUCAUGCUAAUCUUUAAAUUACCACCCAUUUUAUCCAUUUCUUUUAAUUUGAUUCUUUUUCUUUCAAUCUUAUAUGGGCUCAACAAAUUUAAAGUAAUUGUGUUUAAAUUUAGUGAGUACAUUUCCUAUAACAAUGCAAGCGCAUGGAUAAGUGUUUUGGUUCUGCAUUGUAUAUGCGACGACGCAUUGAAUUUCCUGUAAUAAUUAGAAUAUAAUAGUUUUUAACCGCAUUUUACUACUUAAGUAAACACCAUUUAACAAUAAUAUAAAUUAUUUGUAAUUAAUAAAAGGGACUGGGUCAAUUUGGUCCAGAGAAAGAGCCCAAAUAAAAAACAAUAAAAGCCCAGGCCCAUAAACAUUUGACCCAGGUAAGAUCUAUAGUGACAGUGGUUGAUAAAAAACCAAAAACCACAUUAACGUAGUUGGAAGUUACGGCAAUUCGUCUGCCAUAGCCACAUUAUUUUUUAUAUUUAGAAAUUUUUGAAUGUUGAUUUAAAAAAAUAUCAAUAAUAUGAGAUUUGGUAUCAUAAUAUUAAUAAAGUAUUUUUUAUUUAGAAAUGUAUUAAAAUAAUAUAUUUUUUAUUUUUUAAAAUUUAUUUUUUACAUCAAUAUAUUAAAAUGAUGUUAAAAUAUAAUAAAAAUUAAAUUUUUUAAAAAAUAAUUUUUAAAAAAAUUGCCAAACAUGCUAUUUAUGAAGCAAGUUUGAGUUUGUACUUGAGGUUUCUUUUUCUCUGUCCUUUCUCUUCACGCUUAACUUCUAAACAAAGCAUUUCUCAUUCAUCCGCUCUUAUUCAGUUAGCAAUUUACAGGCCCAGGAAAAACUUAAAAUCAGAGAAUAUUAACUUUCAGAUGAUUAAUUAAAUGAAAACGUAAAUAAGAGCUGAAAUUCCAUGAUCUUCCCAUUUUCUCUGAUUAAUUUUAUCAAAGGGGAAUAGGGUGCAUGCAGUCCCCAUAAUUACUGCUUAAUGCACGUGAAGCUGGUCCCCGUAGCCUCUCUCUUUAUGGAGCUUAUCGAUCCCCAUCUGCCUUCGUCAACCAUUACGUUUAUGUCCUUCUUUUUCUUAUGGUCCAAUCAAGAAAGCAAGUGGUUGUGCAGCAUGUCUUCUUCAUGAUCAUAAUAAGAUAAGAACGAUUAAUCACGAGGACUCAUAUUACAUGCAGUAAUUAUCAAUUCAAAGGGGAAUGCCGUGGCUAUAAAUGAGGGUUUCUCUUCCUUCUAGUCUCUUCGAGGUGGGAAGACUAGUAAGAGAGUUUCCUGGUUGAAUAGAAGGCUCACUCUUUCAAUGGCAAAGGGAUAUGAUCAUGUGCUAGUUUUUAUAUGAAUAUGUACGUACAAGUAACAAUUUGGCAGCAGAAAAAUACAGAGAUCAACAUGCUUGGUAAAGGCCAAGUUUAUAGAAUGGGCUAGCUACCUGCCUGGGCUUGUAGGCACAGUAGUUGCAAGUGAUGAAGUGAAUGAGCAGAUCAAUCCACUUAACCACAACCACCUCAAUGCACAAAAUGGCUAACAAUCCUUAAUAUUAAUUGAUACGCACUUACGCUUUAUGCAUUGUUUAUGCCAAGGAUACACAUGAAGAAGAUAAGAGCGAUUAAUCAUUGAAGGAAAUGAUUUUUCAGGACCCAUUCCACUGAUAUUAAUCAUAGUAAGUUUAUGGCUUUUCUUCAUUUCUUCAAAUAUCGUUUUUCAUAUGUGCAUGUUCUUCAUCUUUUUAUCUAAAUUUUAUAUAUGGUGAAGAAUAAUACCGUCAGAAAACUCUCUAAGUUUGUAUUUCUUUGACACCUUUUAGGAGGAUGAAUGAUAAUAAUUUAUCAGGGAAGUUACCUGCUUUCUUCAGUAAAUAAACACAGGUUCAGAAUAUCUGAAUAUCUGUACCUUCUAGCAUUGCUUCCUUGACCAGACUAAGUGAUUAGUAACCAGACUAAGUGUUUUUAUAUGUGAAUUGAGCUUUUUCAAAAAAUGGUUAUCAAUGUUGCAAUGUUGUUUGGUUAUUAAUCUCAAUAAUUUUUUAUUGUGUAUAUGUGAAUUUAUAUGUGAUUUUAUUUUUAGGUUUUUUUUGUUAAAGAUAAUUUUUUUAUCCACUAGAUUCAAGAUUUAUUUCGAAAGAUGGUUAUUUCGAAAGUCUGAUUUAGGAAUCUGAAUCUCCCUAUGAUGGAUCAGAAUUGCAUAACAAUCGCCUUAUUACAUAUAUAUUUUCUUGCUAAAUAUAUUUAGAAAAAUCAUUAUUAGUUGUAAUAUUGGGAAUGAAUUAUAUUGAACUGAUUUACAUUUAUUUAUUUAUUGUAUUCAAAAAUAAUAAAAAAAUAUAUCACAGCAAUUCUGGAAACCAGGCACCAAGAAACCCCGCAUCCUCGAUGAUGAAGAAGGCGGUGUCGUUUUCUUUGCCCCCUUACUCUUCCGCCUCCUCCUCUUCCUCCAGGUUUGGAUAUGCAAGUAUUGGGAGUCAAAGGCAGAGAUUGAUUUUUAAGCUGAUGGGAAUACACUCACCUGAUGGAAAAUUCUAAGGAUGCAUUGGAGUCAGGACUUUUAAUUACUAGUAUUAUCCAAGGAUGAUUACCAAAGGAAAGGUUUUAAAUUCUGCCUUCCAUGGACUCUAGCCUCAGCAUUCCGAAUCUUACCAUCUGUUUUAAAUUAUGUGUUUGAGUAGCUUGUAAUCUUCAAUGAAUCGAAAUAUUCGAGUUGUGAAUAGUAAGGUUCUAACAACCAAUGGAAUUUCCAUUAGCUGUUGGGAUUUGUCAUUAUUGGGCAACCUACCCUAAGGAGUAGGGUUACCAUUUGUCAAUGAUAGUUGCACCCAUCAUUGACAAAUGUAUCAACCCAUGUGCAGCUGCUGUUGUUGAAGAAGAGAAGCCACCAUACUUGCCUAUUUAUAGGCAUACGUGAGAGAGCAAAAGUAGAAGAGGGUUGUGAGAAUGUGAAGAGAGUAGAGAGAAAGUGAGAGCUGCAAUGGCAGCAACCUUGCUGCCAUUGCAGCAGCUGCAAGUGCAGCAAAAGAGCUGGGAGUUGAGUUUGAGUGAAGUGAUCCUCCUCCUCCAUAUGUGUUGUAAUCAUUUCUCUAUAUAUCUCUAAUAAUAUGGACUCUCCCGUGGAUGUAGGCGGUUUUGCCGAACCACGUUAAAUAUUGUGUCCUAGUGUGCUUCCCCUCCGUUUGAGCAAUUAUCAGUACAUCCCCGGUCGGAUUUCCCCAACAACUGGUAUCAGAGCACAUGGUUUAAAGUGGUGUUUGAUUUUGCUCAAAAAUGAAAGUUGUCAAAAUUGUGUUUUGACCAUACCACUGUGUAGAGGAGGAAGAGACGAAGCCACUAGUGAAAACGGUGUCAAAAUCGGACGUCGGACAUGGCCGCACUCUCCAUCACUCUCCGGCAAGGUGUCUGCCCACGCGCGCAGACGCCCCCCACGCGUCUUCUUCGCCCGGAUGAGUUGACCCGACCCAUGUGACUGACCCGAAUAUGAAUGACAUCAGCAUGACGUAAAAGUGACGUCAGCGUGAAUAGUAGACAUGCCAGGGAUGACAUUAGCAUGAUGUAAUUGUGACAUCAUCAUGUACAGUAGCAUGGCCCAUAAUGACAUCAGCAUGAUGUAAUGGAGAUGUCAGCGUCCAGUCAGCAGACACGUCAGCACAGUGGGACCCACAUGCCACAUCACCAGCCGCGAGCUGAGCUGGGCCGAGCCGAGGGAGCCGAGCCUAAUUGGAGCCGAGCCGAGCCACGAGCCGAGGGAAAGGAUCCAGUGUAGCUGAUCCUACGUGCAACCGGAUCUGAGAUUGAAUCUGGGCCGUUCAUCAGGACAUAAUUGUUUUGAUCAAAGCUUAGCCGUCUGAAAUGCGAUUUGUAUGAUUUCAGACUUGUUUCCAGCUAAUUUGAUCGUUCUGGAUGCAAUGGUACGGUCCGAUCGUUGAAAUUUGAGACCGAAAGUGGUGGUGGUUAAUUAACAAAAGAGAUUGCCCGAUCAGGAGGCAUCUGAAGGUCGUUAUGGUGGUCGAUGGAGAUGAAGAAGAAGAAGACACACACAUUUGCCCAAUUAUGUGUGUUGAACUGCUAAGUGGUGGAAUUUUGAAAUUUGAUUUGCCUUGAAGGAAGGAAAAAUUGGGACACUCUGGACACCCGAUCAAGUGGACGAUUUGAGGUGAAGAGUGGAAAUUGACCAAGACCAAUCUUGAUGAAUCUAAGAACUGGUAGUCUCGCCAGAUGUUGAGAAAUCAUGUAUUAAACCAGUAUAUUCCAGAUCACUUGUAAAGGAAAGCCGCAACAAAGCUAGCAAAUGGUUGUAUAUACGGAAAGACAGUACGAUGGAUAGAUAUGGCCUAAGAAGUUCUGUCUAGGAGGUUGGGUUUUAAGCGGGACCAGUGUGACCCCUCCAAUCUUUCUUGGGAACUUGCUUAGUGGAAGGAUUAUCCAUACGGUACUAUUUUCGUAUAUAUAGCAGUUUGUAAUGAAACGGUUGAAGACUAGCAGGAUGACGGCACAAGGAAACAGUUGGGUUCCGUAUGUUCAAGGAUCUGAUGGAGUGGUGAUUUCUCCAAAGAAGUUAGAUUCGGUGACUGUGAUUUCUCGAAGGGAGAAUUGAUGAAGACCCUGAUAAUGGAAGAGAAAUACAGCAAGGGGAUAAAGAUUGGCACCCUAUUUUGAAUUGGACAGGUGUUGUGACAGGAUGAGCUGCUGUCAAACAUAAGCAAGGAAUAGGGAGAAAUCUGGAGAACAGAAAUUGCACGAGGGCACACGGAUAUUGUGCAGGGGUACCCGUAGGAUUCAAUGAGGUACUGUAAUGAGACACCAGGUGCAAGGAGAAGAAGUGUACCCAGAUGAAGCUCAGAGCAGAGACUGUUAAAGUUUGUACAACAGGAAGUCUCUUAUGCUCUUGAUGAAGACAACAGACGAAGACCUUUCCAAUGCAUGCAAGGAUGGAAAGAGAGCUGUUGCAGAGGCACCUAAUUGAGGGGGUGCUAACGCCUGUGAUAAAAGGCGACCGCCUAUGAUGAAAGGCGAAGACACCAAAGAGAGUUGGUGUAGGUGGAGCUGUCAAGCAGAAAGGCGUAGAAGUUCCAAACAUAGAAAUCGAGGUGGAGGAUUGCGAGGAGUAUACCGCAAGUUUCUCUUUCUAUGUAAUCAGUGGCAGUUAUCUCUCCCAUAGUGCACAUGGUGGUAGAGAACUUUUUUGGAGCCACUUUGAAGCAUCUCAGCUGAAGGAGGAUGCGACCGCCUAUGAAAGGCGAAGACACCUUGGAGAAGGUGUGAGGGCCAUGAUCGGAGCCCCAGUUCAGACCGCCCCAUGACAACGGGCGAAGACACCUUAGAGAAGGUGUAUGGGCCACAAUAGGAGCCCAAGUUCAGAACAACCCCAGAGCCAAUGUGAUGGCUGGAUAUGAGUGGAUAGAUGGAUAGCCAAUGAAGUGGCUAUGAUGAGUAUGGAGACAAAUGCAGGAUUGACUUUCAUGGAUAUUGCCCCCAUGCUAAAGAUCAAUGAGCUAGAAGACAUUUGCCUUGGACAAUAAGUGGAUGACUUGUGGAGCAUUAAGACGCGGCUGCUAUGAAGGAGCAGAGGGCAUGCGCAGGUUCCGGGAACUAGUUGACUCUUGUCAAGGUGGUGAGCUCGGUGAAGGCAUUGUAAUACUUAAAGUAUCAAGACAUAUAUGGAUCAACCUCUAAUGGGCUGCCCCUAUAGGUAAAGGUGGAAAGCUACCUGGACUCUUGAGACUAAAAGCGAGAGACUCACGGAGAAGUAAGGCGUGGUUCUUAGGGUGGAGCAGAGGGCAGGCGCAACUCCUGGAUGAGUAGACUCUUAGAAGAGUGGUGAGCUCGUGAUCAUAUUGAGAUACUCAGAUAAUGACUGUCGCACUUGGAAAUGAUAAUUUCCGUUUGAGGGGGUGUUGUAAGCCUUGGUGUGAGGCUUGAUGAAUCAUUCCGGACCGAGCAUGGUUGAUACGCUCGAAGGGGAAUGUUGUCCCAGAGACAAGCGUUAACACUCUUCAGAUGUGAAGUGGCAGACCAUCUGGUUGUAGUGAUCCUUUUGUGUGAGAAAAUGUGUGCUUUGGUGACUCUGGUGAUUGAAAGGUUUGGCGAGUACCGGUAAACUCGGCCACAGACGCUCUCGGAAUGGUAAGCUUGGAAGAGCUGCAAGAUGCAAGCCUGUGCUGAAGAAGCAAGAGGACAAUUGCCCAUAUAAAUGUCAAAGGGGGUGAUUGUUGGGAUUUGUCAUUAUUGGGCAACCUACCCUAAGGAGUAGGGUUACCAUUUGUCAAUGGUAGUUGCACCCAUCAUUGACAAAUGUAUCAACCCAUGUGCAGCUGCUGUUGUUGAAGAAGAGAAGCCACCAUACUUGCCUAUUUAUAGGCAUACGUGAGAGAGCAAAAGUAGAAGAGGGUUGUGAGAAUGUGAAGAGAGUAGAGAGAAAGUGAGAGCUGCAAUGGCAGCAGCCUUGCUGCCAUUGCAGCAGCUGCAAGUGCAGCAAAAGAGCUGGGAGUUGAGUUUGAGUGAAGUGAUCCUCCUCCUCCAUAUGUGUUGUAAUCCUUUCUCUAUAUAUCUCUAAUAAUAUGGACUCUCCCGUGGAUGUAGGCGGUUUUGCCGAACCACGUUAAAUAUUGUGUCCCAGUGUGCUUCCCCUCCGUUUGAGCAAUUAUUAGUACAUCCCCGGUCGGAUUUCCCCAACAUUAGCUUCCCUAAUUUUGAUUGCGUGAAUUUAACUAGCCUUUAUCUGAAAAUUUUGGGAGGUUUAGAAUUGAAUGAUAAGGAAGCACAGAUCAUGAGAAAGGUUUAAGAGAUUUGGUGAGGGAAAUUAGGGAAUCAAUAAGAAAUUAGGCUUAGAGGAAGACUAGCUAUUAAAGUCAUUGCAAUUUGCAAGCAACUUCAUGUUUUUUUACUCUAAAAAAUAAAACAGAGGUGCAAAUCCCUUGUGCUAUCUUUGUCCUGUAUGCAAUGAUUACUCCCAUGGAGACCACCAUGCAAAGUUUAAGUCACUUUCUUCUUUAUUUAUUCAACGAGUUCAUAUUACACUGCUUUAAGUCCUCGAGUCUAAUGAAUUAAUGAAGAUAGAAACUCCAAAGAAAAUCACUUGGCCAGAAAUAACAUACUUCAGUACUGGGGUCAGCAGCUAGCAUGGAUAAAACUAUCUCCUUCCUUGUUAGAGAGGGCUCUGACAUUGCUUCCCAUCUGGCACACUGUAACUUGCAGAUCCGUUUGGCUUUUGAGCUGUGGACUCCCCAUCACUUCAACUGAUUUGUUGUUUGUUUGACCACAAGAUAUUGAUUGUCUAGGGAAAUUCCAAGGACGCAUUGGGGUCGGAACUUUUAAUUGCCAGUAUUAUCCAAGGAUGAUUACAUGCUGCAUGCUUCUAAGACAAAUAAAAAAUUUAUCGGUUCAUUUAAUGUAUUAGUUCUAAGUCAUUCAACAUAUUGCUAGUUCGUGAUCAUUCCACUUUUCUUGUUCCUGCUGUUGUCCAUUAACUCUCGUAUUUCUUGACUUAUCUGUCAGUAAAAUGAUUAAUGUUUCUUUCAAUUUUGAUGCCUGCAUAACGUAUCAGGAUAAAUACAACAUUAGUAAUGCGAUCCAACCAUCAAAGAAUUCAUUGGAAGUUCCAGUUAAUCUAAUUACUAGGCUUAGGGCCAACUAAAAAGUUCAAAGAAGCUUUCAAUGGACUUCUUCAUAAGACAUGGGCUAAGGUGGACUUCAAGAGGAUUUGUAAUAAUAAAGAGCAAGCCUUGAUUAAUCUGAUUCAUGUUCAAGAGGGGCUUGUUGGUAGAACUAAGAUCAUUACACAAGGAUUGGGAGAAGAAGACUAGAUUCGGAUAGUUUGACCUUUUAUUACUCUUUUGGUCAUAACUGGAGCUACAUAUAUAUUUUUUAUGUGAUUCAAGUUGUUCUGGAAACUAGACUUCCAUACAUUUCCAACGGUAUUGUCACGAAUCGAAUUCCGGGUCCAUGACCGGCAACACAAGAGCGGUGUCAAAAGGACACCCCACCUACGCUAAGCCUCAAAACAGACAUAUCAAAAGAACUAAAAAAAUACGCAGUUGAGGUGCGCGCAAGCUGGCCCGGACACCCACGUUAAACUAAAAAAAAAGAAAAGAAAAAAAAAGAACAAUUUAUUCAAAAAAACACAGCAUUUCAUAAUCUUCAAAAAUAUUAUAUUAUUCAAAACUGAUAAAACCAAAAGAUAGUUUAAAACUCCUCAUCAGUAAUUAAAACAAAAAUAAUAAUCCAUAAUACUCAUUACAUUGUCAAAAUCCAAACUUAAUUAAAACAAGGCAAUAGUGGAGCGUCUAAGACAUCAAAUCAAAACUAAAAGGAAAGCCUCGAAAAAUAAGCAAGGCAUACCAACAUAAAACUGAAGAAGUAGGAACACUCAACAAAGUUCACCUGCUAUCAGAAACUAAGAACUUGAAAUAAUAUUAAGAAUGAGGGGUGGGUUCAACCAACUCAGUGAGGAAAUAAUAUUUAAUAUAUAUUUUAGAUAUUAAUAGUUUGCAAGAUGAUUUAUCUUGAUAUACAUAUACAUAUACAUAUACAUACUAAACAUAUUAUCAUAACGUAGUGAAAUACAUGUCAGAGAUCAGAUGACACCCGAAGGUGACCAAAUGACACCCGAACGUGACCUGAUGACACCCGAAGGUGACCACUAUGGGAUGAUCAGUCACCACAGGCUGAUGUCUCUCUCAACAGCUAGGUAUACAGAAUAUUAUGUGCACAUAGACUAACUACUCUCCAUUAGCAUGGAGUUACUGACAAGUCCCAUAUCAAGGCAUAAUAGAUGUCAUAACCCAAUUUUUGACCUAUUUUAAUUAUUAUUAUUAUUUUAUUUAUUGAAAAAAAUUGAUGAUGGAAAAAAAUAAUAAUAAUGAUAGAAAAAUAAGUCAAAUGAAAUAAAUGAAGAAUGAAUUAAAAUUUGGGUUAAGGGCAACAUGAUUGGAAGUUUUGGGGUUUAAUUAAACCUUGGAAAUUAAUCUAAUUAAUCCAAUCAAGGGUUUAAUUGGAGAAUUAAUAAAGUUUUGAGACUUAAUUAAAUUUGGAAUUAAUUUAAUUAAUCCAAUUAAGGGUUUAAUUGGAGAAUUGAUAAGUUUUGAGACUUAAUUGAGCUUAGAAUUAAUUUAAUUAAUCCAAUUAAGGGUUUAAUUGGAGAAUUGAUAAGUUUUGAGACUUAACUGGACUUGAAUUUAAUUUAAUUAAUGAAAUCAGGGACUUAAUUGAAGAAUUACCAAAUUUUGGGGUUAAUUGGGGGCAAAAUUGUAAGAAAUUAAAACCCAAGGACUGGACUGCAAAAAUUCAAAACGUCAAGGAUCAAAACGCAAAUGGCCAUUAACAUUAACACUGUUCAUCUUCUUCACCUGAAAAAAGAAGAAAAACGGAUGCCUUUAUUGCAUUAAAAUCCAUGCGAUUACAUGGCAUUCUCUGGUUAUAAAAACCAGAUAAGGAGAACCGGCCAGGGGAGGAAGAAAAAGGAAGAAAAACUAGGGACUGAAAAGGGGAGAGUGCACUGGACAGGGGGAGAGGAGGAACAGAAAAAAAAAAAAAGCCAGAGGCUGCGCAGAGAGAGACGGAGAGAAAAAAAACCAGGUCGGAGAGACGAAAAAACCGAGGAGACAGAGGACGAACAAGCAGAAAAACCAGAGGAGAAAACACGAAAAAAAACCAUUAGAGAGAGAGGAAAGCCCAGGAAAUAAACACACAGGGAGAACAAGAGAACAACCCAGAAGGGCGAACCAGAAUUGCAGGACUGUUAUUCGCCUGUUUCUUCUCAAAGAAACAGAGGAACGCGUAGAACCAAAGAAGACAGGGACACGAAAAAGCCAGGGGGGAACACAGAGGAUAGAGGAACGAAAAAAAGAACAAAGGGGUAAUUGAAACAGAAAGAACACAGGAGCAUACAAGAGAAACAGACCGAGAGAGAGUAGAGAGAGUUUGAAAAACAGAGCACGGGGAGAAUUUUUCUGUCGAGAGCAGAAGAAACAGAGGGCAAGAAGGCAGAGGUGGAAGGAGGAAUCCCAGUUUCCUAUCAACGGACGCCAUCACCGAUCUUCGCCCAAGACACUAACACUCCGGCGAAGCAACCUGCAGCAAGGUAGGCCUUCUCUGUUUCUUCGUUUUGUUUCGAAAAUUUCAGUGCAUUUAGCACUGUGCGAAGGUAAUUAAUUACCCUCGCACAGCGCCAUGCACGCAUGAAUCUAGUUCAUGCGUGCUGUGGCCCAGCCGGGUCACUGGUUUGGGCCAGUGACCGGGCUGGGCUGGCUGGGUCUAGCCCAGCCCAUGUGGGCUGAGUUGGACCCGGCCCCAAAAAUAAUAAAAAAUAUAAAAAAAUAUAAAAAAUAGAAAAAAUAGAAAAAUAUGUGUAUGCAUGAAUGAAAAUAAUAUAAAUUUACUGGUUUAUUCACCCACGCCAGAGUCGGGAAUAAAAUACUAGUUUAAGUUUAUAUUAUUUUUAUUCGUUAUAUUUUUUAUUUAGCAAAAAACAUAUACGUGCAUGUAUUUAUUUAUUUACUGAUGCCAGAGUCAGGAAUAUAAAUACUGAUUUAAUUAUUCUCUUUGUUUUUUUUAUUAUUAUUUUAACUACAUAAAAAAAAAUAUGUGAAUGCGUAAAUUUAGUUUAUUUGUUUAUUCACUAGCGUUAGAGUCAGGAAUAAAAAAAAUAUUAAUCUGAAUUUAUUUUUGGUGGCUAUGAAUUUUUACCAACGCCAGAGUUGGAAUUAUUUGUAGUAGAAUUUUUACCAACGCCAGAGUUGGAAUUAUUCGGGUGGAAUUUUUACCAACGCCAGAGUUGGAAUUAUUCGCGAUCGAAUAUUCACUGGCGCUAGAGUCAGGAAUAUUAUAAACAAAUCAUCAUAGCAUAAGCGAAUAAAUGUUUAGCAAUUUAAGACAAAACCAGCAAUGCAGUCUGCCUUAGGCAGAACGUUUAAGGGGUGAUAAUAUCUUCCCUUUUACGUAACCAGUCCCGUACCAUAGAAUCUCUGUUGACCAGUUAGGGUUCCUAGUGACCAUAAUACUAGGUGGCGACUCCUUAAACAAGACAUUUUUCCUAAAAGAACAAGAUGCCAGAAAUCUGUUCCUUUUCCUAAUCAGAAAUAUUUUGUGGGACCGCCGCGAUGUCGGGUGCGACAAUAGAUAUUUACAGAAUCAUCAAAGAAACGUAUAUCAUAUCAAAUAGAAUUUAGUUCGACAGAUUACGAGUGCAAAUUCAAGAAUAAAUGAGUACUCGAAAAAUAAAGCAAUAUAUAUAAAUAUUCAAGAAAUUUACUGGUUGUACUCACAUAUAAUCAACAUACAUGUUUAUUUAUAUUAUAUACAUAUUAAAGAUUAUCCACUCACCCGGAAGAAUAUAGAUUAAAAGGAAUAUCAGAUGAAAGACCCGAAAAACCUAUUAAGGAUCGUUAGGAGAACCUACAAUAAAUAUAUAAAAUAUACUCAAAAGCAACUCAAAACAACACAAAUAAAAUAUUCCAAUGCAUAAAAGAAAACCACGCUUAGUCUCCUAUGUUUAGGGACUAAAACGACAAUUAUCCAAAACAGGGACCAAAAUGUAAUUUUACCAAAACUGGACCAAACUGUAAAUACAUAACCAUACUGAAAUUUCACCCAUAAACCAUCCUUAAUUCUGUCUAGAAUGAACCAGGGACCUAACUGUAAUUUUUAAAAAGUUUAGGGACUAAAAUGUAAAUUCCCAAAAUUGAGGGACCAAACUAAAAAUAUUCCAAAUCAAUUAUCAAGAUGAGAUUCAUCAUCAUUAACCUUAUAAUAACACUAUCCAGAAUCUCAAAAUACAUUUAGGGGUCAAAUUGUAAUUCUUCUGAAGUUUAGGGACUAAACUGAAAUUUUCAUCAAUCAAGGACCUAAAUAAAAUUUGGUCAUCUUCAACCUCAAGACCAUUCUGUACAGAUUUUACAGCAAGGUAAAAAUGAAUUUCUUAACCCAUAAAAAUUAAUUUAAACAAAUCAACUCAUAAAUCCUUAUUUUCAACAACAUACUAAUUAAUCACCUAACAUUAAACCCUUAAUAAUCAUAAAUCAAUCUUAACAAUAUAAACUUCCAAUCCUUAUAAACCCUAAUCUCUUCUUUAAUCAUUCCUUAAACAACUAUAAUCGAAAGUAAUAUGAAAGAGAAUCACUUACUUGCUACUUCCACCUUUCUUGAAUCGAAAAUUCAAGAUCAAAAACUAAAAUCUUAGGUUUGAGGAGGGGAGGGUCACAACGGCUACAAGAAUUAGAAGAGAGGAAAGUAAUUCUCUUGCAACUUUUCCUUAAAUACCUAGGUUAACUUAGGUUGGGUUUGGGCUAACAUGGGCUUAGGUUUGGGUCAAAAUAUUGGGUCUUACAGGUAUAUAGCACGCCUUCUAAUUCAUUAAGACGAGAGAGAACCAUCUGUUUUAAGUUGAACUUUUGUUGCUGCUCCCAGACAGAAUGCAGAAACAACAAACUUGUCUUAUUUAAUUAUUUGGGCUAUCAAACUUUAUUUAUUUUGAGAGAAGACAUUUUAUUUAGGUCUUAGACUUUUUUAUUUUGUUUAUUUUAAUUAGUUUGGGCUAGUUUUAACCUGGGUUGAUUAUUAUUUAAAUUAGGCUUAUGUGAGACCCAUUAGGAAAACUAGGGUUUUGGCUUGGAGUUUAAAUACUCUUUAGGAAUAAUUUUAGGGCAGACUUGUGAUUAUAUUUUCAGCAUUGUAGCCGACUUUUUAGUUGCUUAAUCUUGGUUUUUGAUUGAACCUGCAUCUCUUCAAAGAAUUGACCAUUCUUUGUUGUGAAUUUAUACUUUCUUUGCUCGUCUCCAGAUGUAAGCGUUGUAAUCGAGUUGGUUUAUAGUAUUGCUGUCUUGGAGCAAGUCUUCCAUUGUAAUAAGCUCAUUCAAAUCUCAACAAACUUGGAUUAGAUUAAUUUUGAAGUCGCGAAUUCCAUUAAAUUCCGUUAAGGUUCGUAUCACUUAGUAUUGUUUGUGGCUGACAAGGGUCUGAAAAAGCCUCUCUAUACCUCUCCACGUUUGAACAAGGGAGAAGUUCUAUAUUUAGAAACACAUUCAUGCAGGUACUCCCUCUUUUUUUUCUUUCUUUUUUUUCUUUUGUGCUUUCUAACUUGAGAAAAUAUGUUAAAAAUAAUAUAAAUCAUAAAAACACUAAAUCUAUAUAAGUUUUUGUACAUCACAAACUGAUUUUGGAGCUUAAAAAUAUUCCCUUGUGAAAUAAAUUAAAUAAAUAUGAAGUUUCAGUUUUCUUCAUUGUCACGACCCGAAUCCCGGAUCCAUGAUCGGCACAUAGGCAAGGUUCCCCUCCAAGGUUCCAUACCUAUGCGAACCCAAACUUAUCCUAACUCAAUCAGAGUUCAACAUAGCAUUUACAUCAAAAUCAACUUCAUAAUAUAAUUCGAUUGUCUUAAUACAAGAGUUCAUAUAAAUUCAGAGUUUUGAAGCACUAACUAGACAUAAAGAGAAAAAGGUACAAUUUACAACCAAAAGAGCAGGUUCUGAAGGUCUAACAAAAUGACCUGCUAUCAAGCUAUAAGCUUGAAAAUGUUAAAUAAUGAGAUGGUGAGUUCAACAACUCAGUGAGUAGAUAACGCUCAAUACACACACACGAGGUAAUACAACAAUGAGAAAUAUAUAUACAAGUAUGGCUUUAGGUUCUUAUGGAAAUGUUUCUCAAAUUGGCCAUAACAAGAAGAUCAUAUAGUAAAACUCGUCAGAAAAUCAAAAUGCAAUGAGCAUGAGGCUCCGUACUUGGGAUGAUCAGUCCACACAGGUUGGUGACUCCCCCGACCAACUAGGGUUCAAAUACGAUGUGCACAAAGACUAACACUACCCUGUUAGCAUGGGUAUUCUGACUGGCAUACCAUAGGUUCAUAAUCAUAAUCAAACAGACAUAUUCAUAUCUCAAGACUCAACUCAUGACUUCAAUCAAAUGAGGAGCUAUCAAUUCAGAAUUCGAUUCAAAAUAUAUACUGGUUCAUAUCAAGAAUUCAGAUUCAAUAAUUCAUACCAAAAAAAAAAUAUUGAGUUACAAACAUUGUCUUUUGGUAUCAAUGAUUAGACUGGUUAUUCAUCAAAGAAAAAGUUGGAUUUGCAUUAUGAUCUAUGGGAAGAGAAUGCUUAUAUUUAAAGUUAACAUAGUUAUAUGUCAUUUCCUCUACAAAGACAACAAGAGAAGAAAAGUUGAUGAAUAGUUGAUGUUGAUCCUAGGUCCCUGAAACCCUCAAACACUUUUUGAGCCUGUGAAUUCCCUUUCUUUCAUAGCCAUGAACCAUAGCCUGCAUUACGUGCUUUUAAAAGCCCUUUUCGAUCAAGUAAGCAAUCUGAACCGAUAAAUGACGCUCUCAAAACUGGAAGAGCUUUUCUAUAAGGGUCGUGACUUCAUGAAUUAAGCUACUGGUUAUUAUGUAUGUUGAUAAAAUAAAUGCUAAGAAAAGAAACAAACUUUCUUGAUAAAGCCUAAUCAUCUUGUUUUUGAAAUUCAUAAAAACGUCACCUCAUCACAGACCAUCAAAAGAUAUACCCAAAAUCAGAGUUUAAAGUGGACACAAAGAACCAUGGGAAAGGCCAUUUUAAUCUUACAACGAGUUGAUUUCUGUUUUCAAAAUACAAGACAAUCAAAGGACUACAUUGAAUGACUUGUGUUGGGUCUUCGACCAAAAAGCUGAGUUUUAAAAGAUCUUUUUCAAAACUGACAUCACUCUGAUUUCAUUUCAACAAUUAGACUUGAAUAUACAUGACAUUGGAAGUAUGAGAUUUGAUUCCAGAACAAGAAAGAUUGUCGAACAAUGAAGAACAUCGAGCGAGUCUGCGAAAUAUUUGACAUGAAAUGACAUCAACUCUUCUCAAUACUCCUUGAAAAAUUGAGACACUUUGGGGGCAAUACAGUGGACCCUGAGAAGAAAAACAAGCAAUAUUUAGAUUAGCUGGGUGCAAUGAAAGAUGAUCAAAUGAUGAAUCAAUGCACUGAGGACAACGGUGUUUAAAGAAAUGCUAAUCAGCAGAACAAGCAUUCAGAUCAUUAUUGGGGGCAAUGUUAUUAAAAAACAUUCCAUGAUCUAGUGAACUCUAGCAUCAAUUGAGGGACAACCUCGUAUCUUCAUCUUGGGGUUACCCUUUGAAACAUGGCUAUGACAAAUGUUAUCGCAUCGUUGCAUUGGAAUGAAUGUCAUAAAGAUGCACACCACCAAGACUGACUGUGGGACCAUCUAUUCUGAAGCUCAAAUGCGCACUUCACUGUAUGAAUAUGGGUGAUAACAUGAACAUCAUUGAUGAUGUCGAGACAUUUCUUUCCACUAUCUGAUUUGACAAGCUGAGAGGAAUCCAUGAGAAAGAACAUUGAGCAUACAACGAUGAGUCUUUCACUGCAAGCUAUGAGAUGCAUGUCUGGAUGACUGGAUGAUUUCCAUGAAGACUGGUGAUAACAUAUACUUGAAGAAUAUUGUUUCAAUUGGAGGCAAGUUCAUGACUGGUUGACCAUCUUGAUGGGUGUUGGCAUGAUGCACACAACCAAUCAGAAGAUAAUUUUCAGAAGAAUCCAGGAGAGAAAAUCCUUCAUGAUGAAUCAAGCAACACCACACUUCGGGGCAGAGUCAAGCUUGAUAAACAACGAGAGCAGUAAUUGUCGUGGACAGCUUAGGAUGGGCACUGCACUUACAUCUGAGUGAUGGCUAUCACAUGAAUGGGCCAAUGCAUCAAAAGAACAAAUAAAGCUUUGGAAUGCAAACAAAGGCACCCUAUGACGAUGGAUCAUCAAAGGGGGGGACCUAUAUUUCACAUCAGGUAAGGAUGCAUGCAUGUCAUCUAACCUCAAAGCAUUACACAUACUUGUGAUUUGUUACAGAAAGAUCCUCAAUGAAGUCCAGCAAGAUUGUGGACAAAGAAAGAAUCAUUGAGUUGAGGAUGACAAAGAAUCGGUUUAGAUCCUGGAACAAGAAGAGAAUGAGAUGAACCUUGCUAGUAGGAGAAUCUCAAAGAAACAAGGAGAUUAACCCCGUCAUCAAGAGGAGUCUUCAAGUCAACCUGCAACCAGAAGGUGCCAAGUUUGUCAGCCUUGUCCUGUCAGGACUGCUCCAACCAAGUUUUUUUGCCAGGUAAGUCACAUUCUGUCUUUGGGUAGGUCACCGUAACAAUGAGACCAUUUUUUUGAAAAAAAACAUCAUUUUUCUGGGUAGGUCACCCAUCACAAUAAGACCAUCAUUUUUUCUGGGUAGGUCACCCAUUAUAAUGAGACCACACUUCACAUUCUUUCCAUUUGGGUAGGUCACCCAUCAUAAUGAGACCGCUUUCCAUAUUCUUUCCACCUGGGUAGGUCACCCAUAACAAUGAGACCACUUCACAUUUUUUCUAUCUUCCAUCUGGGUAGGUCACCCAUAACAAUGAGACCACUUCACAUUUUUUCUAUCUUCCAUCUGGGUAGGUCACCCAUAACAAUGAGACCACUCCAUAUUUUUUCUAUCUUCCAUCUGGGUAGGUCACCCAUUAUAAUGAGACCGCACCUCACAUUCUUUCCAUUUGGGUAGGUCACCCAUCAUAAUGAGACCGUUUUUCACAUUCUUUCCACCUGGGUAGGUCACCCAUUACAACGAGACCAUUUGUUACACACAUUUUUUAGUUUUGAUUUAAUGAGAUCGCCAGAUGGGAUCUCAUGUAGCUUUGGUUAAAGGGAAUCGCCAGAUGGGAUUUCAGGUUGACCAAGCUACACAUAUUUUUUUAAGUUCCAGUUGAAUGAGGUUGUCAGAUGGAAUCUCAUGUAGCUUUGGUUAAAGGGAAUCGCCAGAUGGGAUUUCAGGUUGACCGAGCUACCAUAUUUUUUAGUUCCACUUUAAUGAGGUCGCCAGAUGGGAUCUCAUGUAGCUUUGGUUAAAGGGAAUCGCCAAAUGGGAUUUCAGGUUGACCGAGCUACACAUAUUUUUUAGUUCCAAUUUAAUGAGGUCGCCAGAUGGGAUCUCAUGUAGCUUUGGUUAAAGGGAGUCGCCAGAUAGGAUUUCAGGCUGACCGAGCUACACAUAUUUUUUAGUUCCAAUUUAAUGAGGUCGCCAGAUGGGAUCUCAUGUAGCUUUGGUUAAAGGGAAUCGCCAGAUGGGAUUUCAGGUUGACCGAGCUACACACAUUUUUUUAGUUUUGGUUUAAUGAGGUCGCCAGAUGGGAUCUCAUGUUGGUUCUGGUUAAAGGGGAUCGCCGGAAGGGAUCUCAGGUUAGCCCAACCACACACAGGAUAUUGGUUCUGGUUAAAGGGGAUCGCCGGACGGGAUCUCAGGUUAGCCCAACCACACAAGAUUUUGGUUUUGGUUCAAGGAGAUCACCAGAUAGGAUCUCAAGUUAACGAAAAAAGAGAGAGAAAUAAAGAAAAAAAAGAAGAAAGAAAGAAGAGGAAGAAAAGAGAAGGAAGAGAGAACAGAGAAAAAAAAAAGCAAGGUCUUUAGAUGAGUGGAUAUUGAGCAAGUUAAGCAGACAGAAAGACAAGUUUUUCUUUACAAAGUUUACUAUGCAAAACAUUAAGGAGUUUUGCUUCGUAAGCAUUGUAAAGAGGGGGCAUCUGUUGCUAUCCAAUUUUUGACCCAUGUUUUGAUAAAUUUUCAGAAAAAUUCAAAAAUAGCAAAAAACAUUGAAAAUCCAAAAAAAUAUAUUUUUAAUACAUUUGCAUCGUUUUUAGCAUUUUUAGCAUCGUCUCAAAAGAAUUUAAAUUUUCAAAGAUAUUUGGAACGCGUUCAACUUUUAACGCAUUAUUUUUAAUCAUUGAUUUUCCUCAUUGAGUCGAUGUUGAUAUUGCUCGUUUUCAAAAAAAGACAAAAAAAUAAGAAAAAUCAAAAUUUACAAAAAAAAGAAGUGGAGGGACCAAAUUUUGAGGCCCAAGCAAUAUUUUACCUAUAAAUAGUAGCCUUCAACACACAGAAUGAGAGGGACAAUUUUGAAACAUCAAAAAAAUACCAAAAAAAAACCCUAACCCUAAACCUAUCCUUUUUUGAAGGAGCGGCGCGCCCCCCUUCCCUAGGAGCAAAAAACCAGAGAGAGCAGGGGCGGCCGCAAGCCUUCCUUCCCCUGUUUACAGAGGCCGACCGCCCCUCCCCUUUGAUUUUCUUCUUCCCCUCAGCAGCCGACAACAAACUCACAGCCCCCUCUCUUUCAAAACCAAACCGGAGCAGCCACUCCGUUCCCCCAAGCCACAAAUCUUCCCUCUCUCACCUGAAAAACCAGUCAAACCCCGAACCCGUCGCUACCCACAGAUCAUACCCACAUUCCCCCUGCCAAACGCCAUUUCCUUUCCUUCUCUUCCCCAGAUCGGUUCUUCCCUCUCAACACAGAACAACCUUUCCCUCAUCAACAGCCGCCUCCAGCAUUUCCUUCCCACAGCAGCCGACCACCACACCGACACCCACCGAUCUGUCCAUUCCUCUGCCUCAACACCGCCAGCAACCUCUCACAUUCUUGCAGCAGCUCCAGCGGCCGCAGGCUGCAGCAGCAAAGCCAAUUGAAGCCGGCGAUCAGACCACUUCGUUCUCCUCCAUCUCCGCCAAACCGGACACCAGCAGCUGCACAGCCGUCGACCGAAGCACAUCCACACUGCUGGCCGCUUGAAACAGGGAACAAAGGGGAAACAAAAACAAACCGAGCUGCGAAGAGAGAUGCAGAUCUGCAAAACAAAAGAGAAAAACAAAACUAAAAUCAACUGCUGUUUUGCGUUGUUUCCCUUGUUGCAGGUGUCGGUGACCUUCACCGCCGGCGUAGGAAGACAGAGAAGAGGAAGACGGCCCCGAUCCACCGGUUCUGCCACCUUCAGCGGCGGCGGCGCGUGAAUCCACACGCCGCCAGAGGCGGGGCACGUGGAACAACGCGCCGCCACUGUUGCUGCAGUGCAGAAGGCCUCCCCUGCAAUUUAUGGAGUGUUUAGGGGCUAUUUUGUAAAUUUAAAAUUGUGUAAUUUAAUUUUUGUUUAGUUUUGAAUUUGUAUUUCGAAGUGUAGAUGAAAAACAAACAAAAAGAAGAAAAAGAAAAGAAAACAAUAGUGAAAGUGUAUUAUGGGUGUGUUUGUUUGUUUUUUUUAAUGAAUGUUUUAUUUAUAUAUUUAUUUAUAAUAAAAUUGUAAAGAUUAAAGAAGAAUUUAAUAUUUUGAUUGGAUCACGGUCAAGAAUUAUUAACUUAUACGUAAGUUGUAUUUCUAAUAUCCGAUGAAAAGAUAAAAUUUUAAAACUUCUUUAACACGUCAAAAUCACGAAGCAGCUUACCUCAGGUAGGGUGUGUUAGGGGUGCUAAUACCUUCCCUAACCACAACCAGUCCCUUACCCGCGAAUCUCUGACAAGACCAGUACAUCCGGUUUUCUAGUAGCCUUCAAUAAAUUACUAGGUGGCGAUUCCAGUGAAUCAAUCAAAGCAAACAAUAAACGAGAAGAUGAAAAAGAUCGCCAGCUCGAUGCCGCGCGGAUUUUUCGACGUGCGACAACUAUAAUCGAAAGUAAUAUGAAAGAGAAUCACUUACUUGCUACUUCCACCUUUCUUGAACCGAAAAUUCAAGAUCAAAAACUAAAAUCUUAGGUUUGAGGAGGGGAGGGUCACGACGGCUACAAGAAUUAGAAGAGAGGAAAGUAAUUCUCUUGCAACUUUUUCUUAAAUACCUAGGUUAAUUUAGGUUGGGUUUGGGCUGACAUGGGCUUAGGUUUGGGCCAAAAUAUUGGGUCUUACAGGUAUAUAGCACGCCUUCUAAUUCAUUAAGACGAGAGAGAACCAUCUGUUUUAAGUUGAACUUUUGUUGCUGCUCCCAGACAGAAUGCAGAAACAACAAACUUGUCUUAUUUAAUUAUUUGGGCUAUCAAACUUUAUUUAUUUUGAGAGAAGACAUUUUAUUUAGGUCUUAGACUUUUUUAUUUUGUUUAUUUUAAUUAGUUUGGGCUAGUUUUAACCUGGGUUGAUUAUUAUUUAAAUUAGGCUUAUGUGAGACCCAUUAGGAAAACUAGGGUUUUGGCUUGGAGUUUAAAUAAUCUUUAGGAAUAAUUUUAGGGCAGACUUGUGAUUAUAUUUUCAGCAUUGUAGCCGACUUUUUAGUUGCUUAAUCUUGGUUUUUGAUUGAACCUGCAACUCUUCAAAGAAUUGACCAUUCUUUGUUGUGAAUUUAUACUUUCUUUGCUCGUCUCCAGAUGUAAGCGUUGUAAUCGAGUUGGUUUAUAGUAUUGCUGUCUUGGAGCAAGUCUUCCAUUGUAAUAAGCUCAUUCAAAUCUCAACAAACUUGGAUUAGAUUAAUUUUGAAGUCGUGAAUUCCAUUAAAUUCUGUUAGGGUUCGUAUCACUUAGUAUUGUUUGUGGCUGACAAGGGUCUGAAAAAGCCUCUCUAUACCUCUCCACGUUUGAACAAGGGAGAAGUUCUAUAUUUAGAAACACAUUCAUGCAGGUACUCCCUCUUUUUUUUCUUUUAUGCUUUCUAACUUGAGAAAAUAUGUUAAAAAUAAUAUAAAUCAUAAAAACACUAAAUCUAUAUAAGUUUUUGUACAUCACAAACUGAUUUUGGAGCUUAAAAAUAUUCCCUUGUGAAAUAAAUUAAAUAAAUAUGAAGUUUCAGUUUUCUUCAUUGUCACGACCCGAAUCCCGGAUCCAUGACCGGCACAUAGGCAAGGUUCCCCUCCAAGGUUCCAUACCUAUGCGAACCCAAACUUAUCCUAACUCAAUCAGAGUUCAACAUAGCAUUUACAUCAAAAUCAACUUCAUAAUAUAAUUCGAUUGUCUUAAUACAAGAGUUCAUAUAAAUUCAGAGUUUUGAAGCACUAACUAGACAUAAAGAGAAAAAGGUACAAUUUACAACCAAAAGAGCAGGUUCUGAAGGUCCAACAAAAUGACCUGCUAUCAAGCUAUAAACCUGAAAAUGAUAAAUAAUGAGAUGGUGAGUUCAACAACUCAGUGAGUAGAUAACGCUCAAUACACACACACACGAGGUAAUAUAACAAUGAGAAAUAUAUAUAUACAAGUAUGGCUUUAGGUUCUUAUGGAAAUGUUUCUCAAAUUGGCCAUAACAAGAAGAUCAUAUGGUAAAACUCGUCAGAAAAUCAAAAUGCAAUGAGCAUGAGGCUCCGUACUGUGGGAUGAUCAGUCCACACAGGUUGGUGACUCCCCCGACCAACUAGGGUUCAAAUACGAUGUGCACAAAGACUAACACUACCCUGUUAGCAUGGGUAUUCUGACUGGCAUACCAUAGGUUCAUAAUCAUAAUCAAACAGACAUAUUCAUAUCUCAAGACUCAACUCAUGACUUCAAUCAAAUGAGGAGCUAUCAAUUCAGAAUUCGAUUCAAAAUAUAUACUGGUUCAUAUCAAGAAUUCAGAUUCAAUAAUUGAUCAUGCUUUAUCAAAACAAGGAUAAUAAUCAACAUAUAUAUUAUCAAGAAGCAUGAUCCAAUUCAUAUUAACAAAUCAAAUAUUUAUAAUAUUUCUCAUGCAUAUGGAAAAUUAUCCACUCACCUGACUCGAAAGCAAACAUAAGUCAAAAGCAGACACCGAAGAAAAUCCUACUGACGUCCCGCCGGUAGAAUAUCAGGAUUAUCUGAAUAUAAAGGAGACAUAUUCAAGAAUGACUCAAAAGAAUAUAACCUAUUUAAUACACUUAUCUAAGGGUGUAUUCCAUAACCCUAUAUGUUUUUGAACUAUCUAGUUAUUUUUUCUAAAAACCCAACAUUUAACGGUUUUCCCGAAAUCUAAUCCAUAAUAAAAUAAAUAAUAAAAUUUAUAAUAAUCCCCAAUUAUUCAUCAAACCAAUCUAAAAAAGGUAAUAUUACAGCUAGGGACUAAUCUGUAAUUUAUCAUACUUUUAAGGGUCAAAUUGCAACUUUUGUCAAAUUGAAGGACUAAACUAAAAUUAUCAUAAAUCCAUGACUAUACUGAAAUUAUGACUAUAAUUAAUCCUCAAUUCUGUCCAGAUCAUCUCAUUAUACUCCAGGGACCAUUCUGGAAUUUUACCAAAUUUUUAGGGUCAAAUUGUAAUUUUUGUCAAAUUGGAGGACUAAAUUGAAAGUGUUAAAAUUUCAUAACUAUACAGGAAUUCUGCCCAUAAUUCAUAUGUUAUUCUGCUCAGAUUCUCGGAAUAGGCUCCAUGGACCAUUUUGCAAAUUUUCCAAAGUUUGGGGACUAAACUGUAAUUUUCCAAAAUUGAGGGACCAAACCAAAAUUUUGUCAUCUUCAACCUCAAACCCAGAAUUCUCACAGAUUACCUACUGUUCUUUCCAAAAUUCUAACUCAACAUUCACCAUUUACACAAUUCAUAACUCAAAAUCAUCACAAUCUUCCAUAAUCAACUCAUUAAUCAAUUACCCAUAACAAUCAACCUUAUAACAUUCAAUUUAAUUCAUCAAUUAAACUCAAAACACAACUUUUCAAAACCCUAACAUUCAUCAAAACUGAAAUUAAGUUCAAUUAACAUACAUUUAUACAUUUAACAACCUAAAUCUUACCUUUAAACUUAUUCUCUUCAACUCCUUUCUAUUUCCCUUCUAAUUCCCUCUUUUCUCUUCUUCUUCUUCUUUCUCCCUUCACUCCUGCCGGUUCUCUCUCAAAAUAUUCAGAUUUCUCUUCUCUUUUUUUUUUUCCUUCUAUUUAUAUUUAUCAUCUCUUUAUACAAUUAUUAUAAUACCUCUCAUUUAAUUUAUUCCUACAUUUAAGCCUUCAAGGGCUUUCUAGCCUUUUCCUAUCCCUUUAAUUCAAAACAUUACAUUCAUCUAUGUUCUUAUUUUUUGAGAGGGUCCUUGGCUACUAGAAACAAGAAUCACACCCCUAUGGGUUCAGUAGCUUUAUUCAGCCAUGCCAUCUCAGAUUCAUCCAAAUAAGGGGCCAGAAUAUCCCUACAUCUCCCAUGGUAGCUGUUACGCCAAUUUAUCUCUUCAGGACCAAGAAGGGUCAAGUCGAUCAUCUUCGUUUGAUAUGGUGCCCAUGUUUUGUGCUCGAAAGAUAAGUAGCCCUUGUCACCAAAAUUGAAUUUUGUAUCGGCCUCCUUGACGAUAAGCACAUUCUCCAAUCUUAUCCCGAAGUUCCCAUCCUCAUAGUAUCCAGGUUCAUCUGUUACAGUCAUGGAAGCUAAUUACGAGCAUGUGGUCUGAAACUAAUUAAAUGAGGUCCUUCAUGUACAUUUAGGUAUGAUCCAAUACCAUGACCAGUGCCAUGUCGAUAAUCAAGACCAUCCUUCCAUAAAGGAAUUCGAGCAAAGAAUGUCAAGGGCAUGAUCAUUAGUUCAGUUGAGAAAACAAGCAUUACCCAAAGCAACGAAGUUGAUGAUGGUGUGCUGGCUAGCCAAUGCUACACCCCCCCCCUCUGUUUCUGUUUUUUCUUUGUUUGUUCUCUGGUGUUUCUUCUUUGCUUUUUUUUUUCCUCUUUUCUUCCCUUACUCUUUUUGUGGUUUUUCCUUUAUAUUUUUUGUUUUUGUUUUUUAUCUUUUUAAUAUAAAUUAUAUCUUGAAGAUUCAUUUAAUAGUUUAAAAUAUUAAAUUAAAAUAUUUCUUUGAUAUAUUCAAUCUGAUAAAUGCAUUUUGCCUUCGCAAAAAAAUGUGCAGCACACAGAAAUGAUCCCUUUUUUUUUUUGUUCUGAGAAGAAAUAACGAUCCAUUUUAAAGGCCUUCAGAUUUCAACACAUGAAGGGAUGCAUACAUGUCUCAGGAAUUAACAAUGGAGGAGGGAUAACUUUUAAUUGCCACAGAUUCCCUCUGAGUAAGCAUGUUGAAUAGUUUUAUGAAAGUGACAAAAAAUUUGCAUGGUGGUUUCGAGGAGCGGGAAGUGGGAGUAAUCAUUGCUUAUAGGAGAAAGAAAGCACAAGGGAUUUGCCCUAUUGUUUUAUUUCUUUAGAGUAAACGGGUAUUAUCUAGUCCACCUUCAUGUUAAUCAUUUAAUAGCUUGUGCUUUCCUUUACGAGAUCAGCUGUUACUGACAGACUAAAAAUAAGUUUGCAGCUCUGAUUAAAUUAAAACAACAAAAAGGAAAAAGAUGGAAGACAGCUUGCUUCCCUUUCCAAGUUCUUUUGACUUCUCCAAAGAAAAGAACUUGGCUUUAAUUUGAUAUAGUUGCUUGCACAUAGCACUUUGAUAAAGUUGCUUCCACUAAGAGAGAGAUCUCUCAGUAUACCAUUGAUUUCCUAACAUCCCUCUCCAAAUUUCUUAUUGAUUUCCUAACUUCCCUCACCAAAUUUCUUAAACAUAUAGCAUGUCUUUAAACGGAUCAUACUAAAAUUAGCAUUUUCCAACCCCUUAUUGGUUAAUUAGCAUUUUUUAUUAUUAUUUUCUCACUAAAAUUACCGUUUUCUUGCCACCAAAAAAAAUAAAAAUACAUGCAUAGAUGAAGAUGUUAACAUUUAAAUUGGUGGGUGAAGUCUUUUAAGGAAAAGCCUCGAGAUUUAAUAUUUUGGAUAUAUAAAGAAUUGAAGAUUUAAUAUUUUGGAAUUACCAAUUAAGAUUUAAAGAUUUGAUCUUAUUUUAGCUUUUACAAGAACCAGAUCUCAUAUAACAACUGACAUUGAUCCUCUUAGUAUCUUUUUCUGUCCGUAGAACUGGUGCUAGCUAAAGCCAAAGGGAUUACUGUGCCAGAUGGGAAGCAAUGACCCGAGCCCUCUCUUACAAGCAUAUCUUAAAGCAGUGUAAUGUGAACACGUUGAACAGUUAGUGUGAAUAAAUAAAUAAAGCAAGUGAUUCGUGAAAGUGACAUUGGUGGUUUCCAGGAGGCAGUGAGACUAUUCUUUGCAUACAGCACAAGGGGUUUGCAUGUUAAUCAAUUAUUGACUAAAACUAAGCUUGCUGUUUACCUUUCGUAGGUGAAGUUGUAGCUUCCUGCCAAUUUCUAUUGACUUCUCCGAAGAAAAAAACAUAAAGUUGCUUCCAAAUUGCUUUGACUUUGAUAGCUAGUCUUCCACUAAGAGGGGAUCGUCAUUGGUUUCCAAAUAUAUAAAUAAAUAAAUUGAUCUUUCUUAGUUUUUGAAAUCCAUGCCUUCUAGAGUUCAUACCAAAUUCUUAUUUGGUUGUAGAAUUUGUAUGUAGGAUUCUUGAUUGAUCAGUUAGAUCUUGAUUAUAUUAUUGGUGUGAAAAGGCAAUAAUUAAUAACCUUGGAAACUUAGAAGUAAAUAUAAAUGCAAAAGGGAUAUUGUUGUAGUUGAAUAAAGCUUGAUAAGUAUAAAUGAGAUAAAAAAAAAAUAGGAAUUUGAAAUUAAGAGAGAGAACCAGUAGGAGAGAAGAAAAAAUAAAAGAAAAAGAAGAGAAAGGAGGGAAAGAUAAAUAAAGAAAAAGAGAGUCAGAUAAAAUAAGUAUUAAAAGUAAGAUUUAUGUUUUAAUGUGUAUAAUUUUGAUAUUUAUUUUUAAUUUUUAUUUUGUUGAAGAUUAGAAUUUUAAAAAUUUUAAUUAAUAAAUUAAUUUGAGUUAACUGUCAACUACCUGGAAAAAUUCCCUUCCUAAUCAGGAUAGGAUAGUGGACCUCCAUAUAGGGACAAAAGUGCUACCUUAUUAGUGCAAUUCGGUUGGAUAUCCCAAUCUUUGAGUUUGAGUCACUAGUGCCAGUCUUUGACCAAGAAACGUAGGCAGAUCGACUGUAUCUAUUCAAUUCAAGAUUAGCCAGGACUCUUUCCCUUAUCAAGAGCUUACCGGACUGAUUGUCUUCAAUGUCCGGAGUAUGAGUCUAUGUCUGAUCAUUUACUUUUAGGAAUAGAAUUUAGAUUCUGAUCUUUAGUAAUUUUAUGUUAUGAGAUAACAGAUAGAGUUGACUUCCUGUUACUGUUCGGGAAGAGAGUUUGACUUAAAGGAAUGUCUAGAGAGUGAGUUUCGAAGUAUUUUCCGGGACAUGUGAUCUUCUAUUCUAUUUUGAGAUAGGUUGUGAGAAUAGCUUCUCUUAGGGGAGUCUAGUCUAUCUUUAUUUAAUUUCCUGAUUUUAAAUUCAUUUUCAAAUAAAAUAUAUUUUAAAAAAUAAUAUUUAACACAUUUCUAAACAUUGUUGACUACAAAUGAUUUUUGUCCACGAAAAUGAGUAGUGUUUGUUUUCUUUUUGCCAAAUUACACUGUCGUUUCAAAGCCUAUAUUUUGUGCACGACAUGGUAAGUAAACUUUUCCCCGCUUGAUAAUUUCAAAUCUCCCCUUUGAUUCACUUCUCCAGAUAAAUAAAUAAUAAUAAUAAUAAUAAUAAUAAAAACGAGUUUUAUUACAUGUUAUUGUCGUACUGACCAUCACUAGAUAGAACUUGAGAUAUCUUUGUAGGUCAUCUGAAAUGUGAUCAUCAACGGAGAUGGACACAAGAUGAGGCAGUGCUUAACACGCGGGGGGUUUGUCCAAGCUUGCGUUAUGGAAUUGUAUGUCUCUUGGCUCCACGGGUCAGAGGUGAGGACUUCCUCUCCAACUAUAUCAAUCUAAAAAUUUAAGUCUGAAAAACAGUGAAAAACGCAAUGUUCAGUCGCUAUCUGGUGUAUGGGUUGGUGGUGGCAGGGCUGCGUGUUGGUUUCUUCAAGGUUAAUCCAUGCUGUCAUUAGCGAGCCGAAUUGCUCCUCGGCAACAUCACUGUCAUGAUAAUUGCAUAUGUUCCAUCUGAUAAAUGCAUUUUGCCUUCGCAAAAAAAAUGUGCAGCAUAAUUUAUUUUUUCUUCAAUUAUGGAUAAGAAAUUAUCCCUUUUUUUUCUUCUGAGAAGAAAUAAUGAUCCAUUUUAAAGGCCUUCAGAUUUCAACACAUGAAGGGAUGCAUACAUAUCUCAGGAAUUAACAAUGGAGGAGGGAUAACUUUUAAUUUCCACUGAUUUCAUGACAAAACGCACCGUACUAAUCUGUUGUUAAGCCGUUACUUAUGCGCACCGUUUCAAUAAAUUAUAAUUCUCAUUACUGGGAAGGUUGUCAAGUCAGCACCGUCUUCUCCUCUGCCUAAAUAUACUGGCAGUUGUAACAGAAUGGCCAUGCAAAAAAUGAAUGAGAACUGCUGUGGAUUCCCUCUUUUCUCUCCGUCUUUCUCUCGCUCCCUCUUUCCGUCUUUCUCUCGCUCUCUGGAUUCAUUUUUUUAUUAUUAUUAUUAUUAUUUUGAUUAUUAUUUAUUUUAUUUAAAAAAAUUUAUAAAAUUAUAUUUUUUUCAAUUUUAUUUUUAUUCAACUUUUUAAUUUAUAAGAUUUGUUACUUAUUAUUUUAAUAAACUUGAAAAAAAUAAAAUAUUAAUAAAUUAUUUUCCAGUUCAUUUUCCAUAACAUAACCAAACACUGGAAAAUGUUUUCCAACUUAUUUUUUAUUACACUACCAAACAUCAGAAAAUAAUUCAUUUUCCUGAAAUUUACUUUUCUAGAAUUUAUUUUCCAAAAAAAUAUUAUUUUUCAGCAAAUAAAUAGGUAUUAAUAACUAAUGUGUUUAUUAUAUUAGCCGGAAGACAUUUAUUUAGAGAGUAAAACAUCAAAUGCAAGACAGUGGUGCAGUGGGAGCUUCCUAACGAUUGCGAUGGCCUCCGUCCCUUUAUGCAGUUUUCAUUCGUAUGCCAUAGCCAUAACAAUUAAGGAAUAUAGCAUAUCACCGGAGCAAAAGUGCCUUUUCUUUUUAAUGAAUUUUGACAAUUUUAUGGCUGAGGUUGAUUUAAAAAAAAAAAAACUAAUAUUAUGAUAUGGGAUUGUUUUUUUAAAAUAUUUUUUAUUUAAAAAUAUAUCUUCACACGGUGAUGAUCCCAGUUCUUUGCCAAAAGCAAAUAGUAACAGCAAAGUCGGGGUCGGUUAAACCAACUAGCUAGAAUUCGUGUGUUGAGAUACAAAAAACUAUCAGGGGAACGAGAGACUAAAUCUUGAUUAGAACAUUCCAACCCUCACAUCAAUUCGGUUAGAUUAAAUGAUAAUAAAAGCUUACACAAUCCCAUAACGCAAGUCUACUCAAUCACUGCUUUAAUUUGCCAAUAAUCUCAAAGCACGAAACCAUAACAAAAAUGGUGAAUGACCAAUUAAGAUUUAAAGAUUUGAUCUUAUUUUAGCUUUUACAAGAACCAGAUCUCAUAUAACAACUGACAUCGAUCAUCUUAGUAUCUUUCUCUCUCCGUAGAGCUAUUAAAGUCAUCGCAAUUUGCAAGCAACUUUAUGUUUUUUUACUCUAAAGAAAUAAAACAGAGGUGCGAAUCCCUUGUGCUUUCUUUGUCCUGUAUGCAAUGAUUAUUCAUGAAAGUGACAUUGGUGGUUUCCAGGAGGCAGUGAGACUAGUCUUUGCAUACAGGACAAAGAAAGCACAAGGCAUUUACAAUUCUUGACUAAAAGUAAGCUUGCUGUUUACCUGUGGUAGGUGGAGUUGUAGCUUCCAGCCAAUUUCUAUUGACUUCUCCAAAGAAAAAACAUAAAGUUAUUGCAAAUUGCAGUGACUUUUUUAAUAGCUAGUCUUCCACUAAGAGAGAGAUCUCUCAGUAUACCAUUGAUUUCCUAAUUUCCCUCACCAAAUUUCACCGUAUUCUGUUCUUGAUCUGUAUCUUUCUUGCUUGAAAGCACACUAAUUUUGUUUCAAAUAAGAUUUGCCCAUUUGGUUGUAGAAUUAAUAAGUAGGAUUGUAGAUUGAUCAAUCAGGUGGAACUUAAUUAUAUAUGUGUUGCUUGAUCUAUUUUAGAACUCAAAACUCAUAUUUAGCUUUGUUCUUUCAUAUUGCCAUCAACUUAAACUAUUUAUCUUGAAAACAGCUGCUCUCAAGGUUUCUUUUGUCUGUUGAGUGCCUCUUGUCAGCUUGACAGGUGACUAGUUUGCCUACUCUUUCUCAUAUUCUUGUGCUUCCAUUUUCAGAUCAGCUUUCCCAGAGUUUCAACAUUGGGGCGCGUCCACACGUUUCCUCACUCAGCAAUUAGCUUCAGAUUCUUUUGUUAAAAUUCUUUUGAAUCCAGGUAAAGUGUUUAUACUUCAUCUUCUUCAUUUUGUUGCUGUCUUUGUUUUUGACAAGUAACUAUUGUUUGAAUCUUUUUAAGUAAAACACAAGUUGUACAAAUUUUAUUGAGAAACUUUGGAUUUUGUAUCAUCAAUAGUUUCCAAAUAUAAAUAAAUUGAUCUUUCUUAGUUUUUAUAAAUAAAUUGCCUUAUGGAGUUCAUACCAAAUUCAUUUUUUUUUCUUUUUAUAUUCUUUGCUGUUUUUAACUUAUUAUUUUAGUUUCAACCUUUCCUUUUCUGAUCGAUGUAACUUACAUUAAUUUUAUUCAAUAUUUUGACUCUGUUUUUAUAUAUAGGGCAAAAUGGUUCAAUCAAACUACCCAUUUUGGCACCAUGUUGCGGAGAUGAAGUGUAUGUAUUGUGGGCAUCAAUUUGCUAAGGAUACUUCCAUUUCAAGGAUCAAAUGGCAUUUAUCAGGAGAGAAAGGGCAUGGUGUUGCAAUUUGUGAAAGAGUUCCUAAACAAGUUCAAGAAGCAGCUUUUCUCGCUAUGCAUGGUGCCAACAAAAGACAUAAAAGCAUAGCAAGUUCAAGCAAUGUUAAUGAUAAUGCCAUUUCAACCACUCCACAAGAACAAAACAAUAAUGAAGUCGACAAGUUGGCAGGAGAUGCAGGAAAGACACAAGCACCAGAUAGAAUGGAUCACGCACUUGAAAAACGUAUGGAAGAGCUCAGUAAAUUGUUAAUGGAGGAUGAUAUAGAGAAUGGGACUGGAGGAGUAGUGCAGCCUGGUGCAGGAGCUAGCUCUUCUGGAGGGCUUACAGGCGACACAAAUGAGAUUCCAGGAGACGCAGUACCAACGACAAAGCUGGUGGGUCAAGCAUUCAAAGACCAUAAGAAGACUAUCUGGACUUGGUUGAUGCACGAUGAAGUUUCAACUAUUGGCAUCUAUGGGAUGGGCGGAGUGGGAAAGACGACAUUGGUGAAACAUAUAUAUGACCAGCUUCAAAAAAGACGAGACAGUUUCUGCAAUGUUUACUGGAUUACUGUUUCACAAGACACUAACAUUAAUAAAUUGCAAUACAGUAUCGCCAGACGGAUUGGUUUAGAUCUUUCUAAUGAAGAUGAGGAGCUGUAUAGAGCUGCUGAAUUGUCAAAAGAAUUAACGAAGAAACAGAAAUGGGUUUUGAUUUUAGACGAUUUGUGGAAGGCUAUUGAGCUACACAAGGUGGGAGUCCCUAUCCAAGCUGUUAAGGGAUGCAAGCUGAUCGUUACAACACGAUCAGAAAAUGUUUGUCAGCAGAUGGGUAAACAACACAUAAUCAAAGUGGAGCCUAUUUCGAAGGAAGAAGCUUGGGCUUUGUUUAUUGAGAGACUUGGACACGACACAGCACUUUCUCCGGAAGUGGAACAAAUUGCAAAAUCUGUGGCAAGGGAAUGUGCUGGUUUGCCGCUAGGAGUUAUAACCAUGGCUGCAACCAUGAGGGGAGUGGUUGAUGUACGUGAGUGGAGGAAUGCGUUGGAGGAAUUGAGAGAAUCAAAAGUUAGAAAAGAUGAUAUGGAGCCUGACGUAUUCUACAUAUUGAGAUUUAGUUAUAACCAUCUAAGUGAUUCAGAACUGCAACAAAGUUUCUUGUACUGUGCAUUAUUCCUGGAAGACUUCAAGAUCCGUAGAGAGGAUUUGAUAGCUUAUUUGAUUGACGAGGGAGUGAUAAAAGGGCUGAAGAGUAGGGAGGCAGAAUUUAACAAAGGCCACUCGAUCCUUAAUAAACUUGAAAGAGUCUGCCUAUUGGAAAGUGCUGAGGAAGGGUAUGUCAAGAUGCAUGACUUGAUUAGGGACAUGGCCAUCCAAAUACUACAAGAGAACUCUCAAGGCAUGGUAAAAGCAGGUGCACAGUUAAGAGAAUUGCCGGGAGAAGAGGAGUGGACAGAGCAUCUUAUGAGAGUUUCACUGAUGCAUAACCAGAUUAAAGAAAUUCCUUCCAGCCAUUCACCAAGGUGUCCCAGUCUUUCAACUCUAUUGUUACGUGGAAAUUCAGAGUUGCAAUUUAUAGCAGAUUCAUUUUUUGAGCAGUUGCGUGGACUCAAGGUUCUUGAUCUGUCUUAUACAGGUAUCACAAAACUACCUGAUUCUGUCUCUGAAUUGGUGAGUCUCACUGCAUUACUGCUCAUUGGUUGUAAGAUGUUAAGGCAUGUACCGUCAUUAGAAAAGCUCAGGGUACUGAAGAGGUUAGAUCUCUCUGGUACUCGGGCACUUGAAAAGAUUCCUCAAGGCAUGGAAUGUCUAUGCAACCUGAGGCAUCUUAGAAUGAAUGGAUGUGGUGAAAAGGAGUUUCCUAGUGGGUUGUUACCUAAGCUCUCUCACCUGCAAGUCUUUGUAUUGGAGGAGUGGAUUCCUCCUGGUACCAAAGAUAAUAGAAGAGGACAACCUGCUCCGUUAACUGUUAAAGGAAAGGAAGUGGGUUGUUUGAGGAAGUUGGAAAGUUUGGUAUGCCAUUUUGAAGGUUACUCAGACUACGUGGAGUUUAUCAAAUCUCGGGAUGAAACCAAAUCACUAACCACAUACCAAACUCUUGUAGGACCACUGGAUAAGUAUGAUUAUGAUUAUGAUGAUUAUGAUUAUGGUUGCAGAAGGAAAACAAUUGUUUGGGGUAGCUUGAGUAUCGACAGAGAUGGAGGUUUUCAGGUCAUGUUUCCAAAGGACAUUCAACAAUUGACUAUUGAUAAUAAUGAUGAUGCAACAAGUUUAUGCGAUGUUUCCUCUCAAAUAAAGUAUGCAACUGAUCUGGAGGUUAUCAAGAUUUUUAGUUGCAAUAGCAUGGAGAGCUUGGUUUCAUCUUCUUGGUUCCGCUCUACUCCACCACCAUCUCCAUCUUACAACGGUAUAUUUUCUGGUCUUAAGAAGUUCUUUUGCUCUGGAUGUAGUAGUAUGAAGAAGUUGUUCCCUCUUGUCCUGCUGCCAAACCUUGUAAAAUUAGAAGAGAUUAUAGUUGAAGACUGUGAGAAGAUGAAGGAGAUAAUAGGUGGAACAAGACCAGAUGAAGAGGGGGUUAUGGGUGAAGAAACCAGCAGCAGCAAUAUCGAAUUCAAACUCCCAAAGUUAAGAAAUAUGGAAUUGAGAGGAUUACCCGAACUGAAAAGCAUUUGUAGUGCAAAACUGAUUUGCGAUUCUAUCGAAGGAAUUGAAGUAAGAAAUUGCGAGAAGCUGAAGAGGAUGCCAAUUUGUCUCCCGUUGCUUGAAAAUGGCGAGCCAUCUCCUCCCCCUUCUCUUAGAAGAAUGUAUAUAGAACCAGAAGAAUGGUGGGAGUCAGUAGUGGAGUGGGAGCAUCCUAACGCUAAGGAUGUCCUUCGUCCCUUUGUAGAGUUUUUUGUGUGCUGACGACAGUGCCCUUAGUAUAAUAUUAAAUUAAGAGUAAGCAUUGUUGUUUUAAUUGGAUUAAGCUUAAGCUAUGUGUCUACUUAAUGACUGAUGUGUUUAUUAUAUCAAUAGGUUUGACAUUUAUUUAGAGAGUAAAACAUCAAAUGCAAGAAAGAGUCAUCCGUCCCACUGCAAGUAGCCAUGGGUGCAGCAGGUGACGAUGCUGAGGCCAAAUUAGUGCACAGAAGUUGGACUAAUGGUACCCUUAAUUUCUUAUGCUUCCUACCAGUUCACAGCACCUAAAUAAAAUCACUAUGAGUCGAAGGCACCACACCCAAAAAUGGCUCACCCUUGGCCAGACCACUUCUACCCACUGCACGUAGCCAUGGGUGCAGCAGGUGACGAUGCUGAGGCCAAAUUAGUGCACAGAAGUUGGACUAAUGGUACCCUUAAUUUCUUAUGCUUCCUACCAGUUCACAGCACCUAAAUAAAAUCUUCAUCAACAUUACAAGUGCUGCUGGAAUCCUUGUAGGCUGACAUUAUUAGCUAUAAAAUGAUAAUCUUGUGGAAUUACCCUAAACUGAAAAGAAGAAUAGGUAUUCUAAGUAGAUGGUUUUAGAACUUAGUUAAUUACAACAAAUUCUAAAUUUUUAACAAAUUUGUUAUAUAUCGAGAUGAUUUCUUAUCUUUAAUAAAUAGAUCCAUUUUAAUAAUACGUUGCACAAAUUAACUCGUAAUUAAAUACUUGUUGCAUAUAUAGUUCACAUAUGCAAGCCAAACACAAAUAAAAAUUCUUUGUCGAUCUUGAGUUUUCUUAUUCCAGCUUCCAAAUUCUUAUUUUGAUUAGUAAUGUAAAAAAUUAAUUAUUUUUGUUAGAUUUAUUUUUAAUAGUUUUAAUAUACUAAUAUAAAAAAUAAAUAAUAAAUAAUCUAAAAUAAUUAUUUUAAUAUUAGUUAAAAAAAUACUUUUGAAAAUGAUCACUUGGCAUUACUUUACCAAAACAAACUCUUAAUACAUAUAUUAGAUUCCAGGUGAAUUUCCAGCUAAUAUGAAAAAACAACGUCAGCCAAGACAUCAUCAAGAAGAGCAAGGUAAAACAAAACUCAUCAAUUGGGUCCCUACUAUUUGAAACAAAUGAAAAUUUACAAAACCAAUAAUAAUGAAGAAUUUACGUGUGAUUUUAUUUUUAGGAUUAUUUUGUUAAAGAUAAUCUUUUUAUCCACUAGAUUCAGGUCUUGUUUCGAAAGAUAGUUAUUUGUGUAGGUGAGAAAGUUCAAUUUUGGAAUCUGAAUCUCUCCAUUAUGGAUCUGAAUUGCUUUCAUUACAUAUUUUCUUGGUAAAUAUACUUUUAAAAAAAUCGCUAUUAGUUGUAAUAUUGGGAAAGAAUUAUAUUGAGCUGAUUUACAUUUAUUUAUUUAUUUAUUGUAUUCAAAAAUUAUAAAAAAAUAAAAUGUCACAGCAAUUCUGGAAACUAGGCACCGAGAAACCCCGCAUCCUCGAAGAGGAAGAAGGCGGUGUCGUUUUCUUUGCCCCCUCUCUCUUCCGCCUCCUCCUCUUCCUUCAGGUUUGGAUAUGCAAGUAUUGGGAGUAAAAGGCAGAGAUUGAUUUUUAAGCUGAUGGGAAUACAUUCACCUGAUGGAAAAUUCUAAGGAUGCAUUGGAGUCAGGACUUUUAAUUGCCAGUAUUAUCCAUACUACAUGCUUCCAAUAGAAAGAUUUACCGAAGGAAAGGUUUUAAAUUCUGCCUUCCAUGGACUCUAGCCUCAGUAUUCCGACUAUGUGUUUGAGUUGCUUGUAAUCUUCAAUGAAUCGAGAUAUUCGAGUUGUGAAUAGUAAGGUUCUAACAACCAAUGGAAUUUCCAUUAGCUUCCCUAAAAAGUUUCAAACCUUUUUACAUUGCCUGAAUAAGGGUUUCUUCAUACAGUCUGAUUCUUAUUAGUUUGAUUGCGUGAAUUUAACUAGCCUUUAUCUGAAAAUUUUGGGAGGUUUAGAAUUGAAUGACAAGGAAGCACAGGUCAUGAGAAAGGCUUAAGAGAUUUGGUGAGGGAAAUUAGGGAAUCGAUAAGAAAUUAGGCUUAGAGGAAGACUAGCUAUUAAAGUCAUUGCAAUUUGCAAGCAACUUUAUGUUGUUUUACUCUAAAGAAAUAAAACAGAGGUGCAAAUCCCUUGUGCUUUCUUUGUCCUGUAUGCAAUGAUUACUCUCAUGGAAACCACCAUGCAAACUUCAUGUCACUUUCUGCUUUAUUUAUUCACACUAACUAUCCAUCGUCUUCACAUACAGUACUGCUUUAAAUCCUCGAGUCUACUGAAUUAAUGAAGAUAGAAACUCCAAAGAAAAUCACUUGGCCAGAAAUAACAUACUUCAGUACUGGGGUCUGCAGCUAGCAUGGAUUAAAAAACUAUCUCCUUCCUUGUUAGAGAGGGCUCUGACAUUGCUUCCCAUCUGGCACACUGUAACUUGCAGAUCCGUUUGGCUUUUGAGCUGUGGACUCCCCAUCACUUCAACUGAUUUGUUGUUUGUUUGACCACAAGAUAUUGAUUGUCUAGGGAAAUUCCAAGGACGCAUUGGGGUCAGAACUUUUAAUGCCAGUAUUAUCCAAGGAUGAUUACAUACUGCAUGCUUCUAAGACAAAUAAAAUAUGUAUCAGUUCAUUUAAUGUAUUAGUUCUAAGUCAUUAAACAUAUUGCUAGUUCGUGAUCAUUCCAAUUUUCUUGUUGCUGCUGUUGUCCAUUCACUCUCGUAUUUCUUGACUUAUCUGUCAGUAAAUUGAUUAAUUUUUCAAUUUUGAUGCCUGCAUAAUGUAUCAGUUUAAAAUACAGCAUUAGUAUUGUUGCUGACAAGGGUCUGAAAAAGCCUCUCUAUACCUCUCCACGUUUGAACAAGGGAGAAGUUCUAUAUUUAGAAACACAUUCAUGCAGGUACUCCCUCUUUUUUUUCUUUUUCUUUUGUGCAGCACACGUUUUCUUCAAUUAUGGAUAAGAAAUGAUCCCUUUUUUUUCUGUUCUGAGAAGAAAUAAUGAUCCAUUUUAAAGGCCUUCAGAUUUCAACACAUGAAGGGAUGCAUACAUAUCUCAGGAAUUAACAAUGGAGGAGGGAUAACUUUUAAUUGCCACAGAUUCCCUCUGAGUAAGCAUGUUGAAUAGUUUUAUGAAAGUGACAUAAAAUUUGCAUGGUGGUUUCGAGGAGGAAGUGGGAGUAAUAAUUGCAUAUAGGAAAAAGAAAGCACAAGGGAUUUGCCCUAUUGUUUUAUUUCUUUAGAGUAAACGGGUAUUAUCUAGUCCACCUUCAUGUUAAUCAUUUAAUUGCUUGUGCUUUCCUUUACGAGAUCAGCUGUUACUGACAGACUAAAAAUAAGUUUGCAGUUCUGAUUAAAUUAAAACAACAAAAAGGAAAAAGAUGGAAGACAGCUUGCUUCCCUUUCCAAGUUCUUUUGACUUCUCCAAAGAAAAGAACAUGGCUUUAAUUUGAUAUAGUUGCUUCCACUAAGAGAGAGAUCUCUCAGUAUACCAUUGAUUUCCUAACAUCCCUCUCCAAAUUUCUUAUUGAUUUCCUAACUUCCCUCACCAAAUUUCUUAAACCUAUAGCAUGUCUUUAAACGGAUCAUACUGUUCUUAUUCCACAAACUCGUGGAUAGAACCUGAGGAGGCCAGCCGUCUUCCCUUUGGUGAAGUUGUAGCUUCCAGCCAAUUUCAUGACAUCUCCAAAGAAAAAAGCAUGGCUUUACGUUAUUUCUGGCCAAGUGAUUUUCUAUCGAGAGUAAUUAUUGCAUAUAGAACAAAGAAAGCACAAGGAACAAACAAAGCAAAAGCAGAAAGUGACAUAAAGUUGUAGCUUCCUGCCGAUUUCUAUUGCGAUGACUUGAAUAGCUAGUCUUCCACUAAGAGAGAUCUCUCUCUGUGUACCGUUGAUUUCCUAAUUUCCCUCACCAAAUUUCUUCAACCUUUCUCAUGAUCUGUGCUUUCUUUGUCUGAUUGAAUCGAAUCAUCUUGUAUAUUUAUGUUUUUUUAAUUAAAUAUAUUUUUAUUUAAUUUAUAUCUCUUCAUUUUAUCUUAGAAUAUUAACCAAACAGAGCCUAAAAGUAAAUCCUUAUUCUCGCAAAAGAUUUAAUAAAACUUCACAAUGAAAGAAAAAGGGACUCGGGAGGAUGCAAAUUCGUAGGUUAACUGAAUUACUGAUGUAUUUUUAUCCUUGUAAAUUAUUAAAUUGAAGAUGAAGCAGAUAUUCUAUAAAAGCCUUCAGAACUUUUUCCAAGGUAAGGGUUUGGCAUAUGUUCUUUGUUCGAGCUUUAUGGUUAUUGGUUCUUUAAAUUGUUUGUCAUCUCCUACCUACAUUUUAGGUACUGAGGCCACAUUAAUGUAUAACGAGUGUAGCAGGUUAAUUAGCAGUUUUUAUUUUAUUUUCUCACUAAAAUUACCGUUUUCUCCUUAGCGAGCCGAAUUGCUCCUCGGCAACAUCACUGUCAUGAUAAUUGCAUAUGUUCGAUCUGAUAAAUGCAUUUUGCCUUCUCAAAAAAAAAAAGUGCAGCACACGUUUUCUUCAAUUAUGGAUAAGAAAUGAUCCCUUUUUUCUUUUCUGAGAAGAAAUAAUGAUCCAUCUUAAAGGCCUUCAGAUUUCAACACAUGAAGGGAUGCUGUAAUAUCUCAGGAAUUAACAAUGGUGGAGGGAUAACUUUUAAUUGCCACUGAUUUCUUGACAAAACGCACCGUAAUAAUCUGUUGUUAAGCCGUUACUUGUGCGCACCGUUUCAAUAAAUUGUAUUUCUCAUUACUGCGAAGGUUGUCAAGUCAGCACCAUCUUCUGCAAAAAUGGGCAUGCAAAAAUUGAAUGAGAACAAUUGAAUGAGAACAAUUGUUAAUUCCUGCUGUGGAUUCCCUCUCUUCUCCCCGUCUUUCUCUCGCUCCCUCUCUCUCCUUCUCUGUCUUCUCAAUCUUUCUGGUUCAACACAGAUUGGAGGAUUCUUGAUCGGGUUGUUACCUAUAGAUCGUACGUGAUAUCUUAUACCAGCUUUGUGAUGUAUGCAGGAAUAAUAUUGGUCUUUAAAUGGUUUUAUUUCUUAAAUAAAUCAAAGAAUUGAAGUUAAUCUCUUUUCUUUUUUCUUUAUAAAAAAUAUAUUGGACUACUUUAUCCGUACCAGAGUAUUUGAGCAACUAAAAUAAAAUUAUUAUAUCACGACUCGAUUCUUGGAUCCAUAACCGGCAUAUAGCUAAAGUCCUCCUUCAAGAUUUCAUAUUUCUGCGAACCCAAACUCACAUACAACCUUAUUCUUUAAAUAACUCAAUAAGAGUUCAACGCAACAUUAAUAACAAAACUAACUUCAUAAUAUAAUUUGAUUAUCUUAAUACAAGAAUUAAUUCAAAUUACAUCCAAAAGAGCAUGUUCUGAAGAUCCAAUAAAAGUGACCUGCUAACAAGCUAUAAGUCUAAAAAAGAUAAAUAAUGAGAGGGUAAGUUCAACAACAACUCAGUGAGUAAACGUUCAAUAUAUAUACACGAAAUAAUAUAAUAAUAAAAAAUAUAUAUACAAUUAUGGCUUUAGGUUCUUAUAGGAAGGUUUCUCAAAUAGGUUAUAACAGGAAUAUCAUAAGGUAAAGCUCGUCAGAAAAUCAAAAUGCAAUGAGCAUGAGGAUUCAUACUGUGGGAUGAUCAGUCUACACAGGUUGGUAACCAAUUAAGAUUUCAGAUACGAUGUGCACAAAGACUAACAUUACCUUGUUAGCAUGGGUAUAAUGUCUAGCAUAUCAUAGGUUCAUAUCAUAAUCAAACAAAGAUAUUCAUAACUCAAGGCUCACUACUAAAAAAUGGAGUAAUUAGCAACGGACUAUUCCGUUGCAAAUAACACUAAAAUCCGUUGCUAAAACAAUUUAGCAACGGAAUCAGCAACGGCAAAAAUCCGAUGCAGAUUUGUCGUUGCUGAUUUUUUUGCAACGGAUUUAUCCGUUGCUAGUUUUGCGGAAACGCCACGGAUGCUCCGGAGCUGAGUCAUGCAUCAGUCUGGUGUUUAUUAAAUUAAUUUUUAUUUAUUUAUGAAAAUGGAUUCUUAAUUUAUUAGUUGAAUUAUAACAUGGAUAUUUUAAAAAGGAGCAGAGGUUAUACAACCCCCUUACCUUACUAUGAUAUUGAACAUAAGUAAUAGCAUUAUCAAAAAAAACCCAGCUAACAAGGGUAUGCAUAUUCUUAUGAGCUUAUGGUAAACCUUGCAUUUAAAUAGAUUUACCACCCAGUGCNNNNNNNNNNNNNNNNNNNNNNNNNNNNNNNNNNNNNNNNNNNNNNNNNNNNNNNNNNNNNNNNNNNNNNNNNNNNNNNNNNNNNNNNNNNNNNNNNNNNAGAACGACUGUGUUACGUAACAAGAUUGGUCUUGCCGAUGGAAGCUCAAUCUUGCGGGGGCGUAUCAGGGAAACAUGCAGAGAAUCUGCUCAAAUCAACACAAAGAAGGAAUAGCAGAAAAUCAUGGCACAGACUCUGCCAUCAACGAUAUAUAUUUGGAACGUAAAAACAAAAUAAAAAUAAUAUUCAUAUUAUAAAAAUUUAGUUAAACUUGCAUUAAUACAAUUAAGUUCAAAUACAAUAAAAAAAAAAAACAACAAAAGAUACAAUCAUGGUGCUGGUUGCGAAGACGAACCAUGAUAUUGUGGAUCAAUACAAGAUUGAUCAGGAUAUAAAGGUCGAGGUGUAGGUCGAAAAAUUGGUUGAGAUGCGGGACCCAUAGGUGUCAUUAUCUGAGGAGCCAUAGGUGGCGGUAUUGAUGGAGUCAAAGGUGGUGGCAUACCUUGAUCAAUAUUUGAUGUCCCACCAUGGUAUCCAAGAUUGUUCACAAGAUAUUCUUUCAUGGAAUCCAUCUGCCGUUUCAUUUCAAGAAUAAAAUCAUCUUUUUUCUUUAUCUCCUCUUCUUUAUCCUUUAUCUCCUUUUGCAAUGCUCGAUACGAUGAACUGGGAUAUGAUGACUCCACCGAGUAGGAAUGUGAUGAAGAGCUUGUACUAACUUUUGAUUUUGGCAUACGAGGUGCACCAUAUACCCUACCCUUUGUAACUCCUCCUGAAGCCACACACCAAGCUGCUCCAUCAAAUGAAGGAUGAUUUUCCCGAUCAGUUCCAUACUUUGAAAUCAUCUCCAUUUUAUAAUUUUCCUACAAAUAAAAUACAUGCAAUAAUAAAUUAAUUUGAAUGUUGAAUAAUACUUAAGUUAUAUUAAGAAAUAAUCAAAUAAAAAUACAUACAACCACUUUUUUAGACUUGUUGUCGACGAAGCUACCAGAUUGCUUAAUACUUUGAUGCAAAGCUGAAAAGACAUCAUCCCAUGGAGGUUCUUUUCCACCAGCUUCCUCUUGCUUUCAAGAUUAAUAAAUAUUAUAAAAGAUAAAUAUACAAAUUUUAAUUUAUUAUCUUAAGCAUAAAAAAAAAAUCCAUACCAUGUUAGCUCGAUAUGAUGCAAAUGACACUGUUCCUCCAGAAUGAGUGCUUAUUUUGCCAUCUGUUUUGGUUAAUCGAUUCCUCCUAGCAGAUUCAGAUCUCCUUUGAAAUUCAGGGGUGGACCAAACAUCUUUGAUCAUUUGAUUCCAGUCAUCAUUGUUUAUCCAGGCAGGACCUUUAUCAAGACAAUCUAUAAUAUUUGUAGUGUUUUCUUUUGACAUAGCUUUCUUGCGAGCUCGUGUCAAUUGUUGAUUCAAAGCUAUCCUAGCCUUAUCUUCCCAAAUAUUACGAACAAUCGACUCAUCUUCCUCAGGAAAGGAAUAUUUUUUCUACCAAAUAAUAUAUAUACCAAGUAAAAAGAGUGCACAAAAUUUCAAAUUAUAUAAAUAAUUAAUCAUAUUGUGUUAUCUUGUUCAGAAUUUGCAAGAUGAUGUAAUAACUAAAGAAAUUAAAUGAUAUUAAAGAGUAAACAAGAAAUAAGAACAAAUUAUAACACAAAUCAGUCAUAGCUAUUCCGUUGAUAAUUUUCAUAAUUCUACAUUAAAGUGAAAAAAAUUGAAAAGAUUAUUAUGGCAAUUAGUGUUGGUUCUUACCUUAAACUCUUUAAAGAGUUCAUCCCUGCACAUUGGAUCUACUUUUUCCCAAGAGUGCCAUGCUCCCUUAAAAUUGGACCUCAAAAUAUCUCCGAUUGCACGGCCACACGAUGCGUUAUUGAACCUGAAAAUAUAUAAUAACAAACUUAUAUUAAACAAAUAAUUACACAAUAAUAAGUAAUUUUUUUCAUACUUGAAAAUAUAACCUUAAUAAGUUAGUUAUUAAAAGUUUGAACNNNNNNNNNNNNNNNNNNNNNNNNNNNNNNNNNNNNNNNNNNNNNNNNNNNNNNNNNNNNNNNNNNNNNNNNNNNNNNNNNNNNNNNNNNNNNNNNNNNNNNNNNNNNNNNNNNNNNNNNNNNNNNNNNNNNNNNNNNNNNNNNNNNNNNNNNNNNNNNNNNNNNNNNNNNNNNNNNNNNNNNNNNNNNNNNNNNNNNNNNNNNNNNNNNNNNNNNNNNNNNNNNNNNNNNNNNNNNNNNNNNNNNNNNNNNNNNNNNNNNNNNNNNNNNNNNNNNNNNNNNNNNNNNNNNNNNNNNNNNNNNNNNNNNNNNNNNNNNNNNNNNNNNNNNNNNNNNNNNNNNNNNNNNNNNNNNNNNNNNNNNNNNNNNNNNNNNNNNNNNNNNNNNNNNNNNNNNNNNNNNNNNNNNNNNNNNNNNNNNNNNNNNNNNNNNNNNNNNNNNNNNNNNNNNNNNNNNNNNNNNNNNNNNNNNNNNNNNNNNNNNNNNNNNNNNNNNNNNNNNNNNNNNNNNNNNNNNNNNNNNNNNNNNNNNNNNNNNNNNNNNNNNNNNNNNNNNNNNNNNNNNNNNNNNNNNNNNNNNNNNNNNNNNNNNNNNNNNNNNNNNNNNNNNNNNNNNNNNNNNNNNNNNNNNNNNNNNNNNNNNNNNNNNNNNNNNNNNNNNNNNNNNNNNNNNNNNNNNNNNNNNNNNNNNNNNNNNNNNNNNNNNNNNNNNNNNNNNNNNNNNNNNNNNNNNNNNNNNNNNNNNNNNNNNNNNNNNNNNNNNNNNNNNNNNNNNNNNNNNNNNNNNNNNNNNNNNNNNNNNNNNNNNNNNNNNNNNNNNNNNNNNNNNNNNNNNNNNNNNNNNNNNNNNNNNNNNNNNNNNNNNNNNNNNNNNNNNNNNNNNNNNNNNNNNNNNNNNNNNNNNNNNNNNNNNNNNNNNNNNNNNNNNNNNNNNNNNNNNNNNNNNNNNNNNNNNNNNNNNNNNNNNNNNNNNNNNNNNNNNNNNNNNNNNNNNNNNNNNNNNNNNNNNNNNNNNNNNNNUCAGGGCUUUAGGCUUGAAAACGAAAGCCCUCACAAUAUUGAUAUGCACCAACCCUCCCAUAAUCAUGUUGAGGAGGAUGUGUACUCCCCAAAGUGGGUAUAUAAUACUCAUUUACAUUCUGAUACACAGGUUGAUGAAAUGUGGAUCCUUUGUUAUUAUGCCUUGAUGUAGUUUGAAAUGACUUGGAUGAAGUGGACCUGUCACUCCUUGAUGUGGACCUGUCACUCCUAGAUUCUAAUAUGGAUCCUCGUCGAGGCAUGCUAAAAACCAGAAAAAAUAGCUAACAUUUAAUAUGAAUAUAUACAACAUAACAAUAAAUUAGCUCAUAUUUAAACUAUCAGGAACAAAAAAUUCACAGAUAUUUUCCCAAGACUGCCAUAACUAGAAUGAAAACAAACUGUUAAAUCUCAUUUUUUUUCCCAAUUCAUUACAAACAAUAUCUAGAUUAUGAUGUUCAAAAUCAGUAUGGAUUGUCCACUUAAUAGUCAUCACUCCAAAAAAUAUUAUACUUCAACUAAAAUAAUUAUUGUAACAAAACCAAAUAUAUAAAUAACAUAAAGACAAUUUCAUUAAGCAUUCCUUGCAAUGACAAAACUCAGCCAUGAAGUUUAAAUUGUCAAAAGCCAAUUAACACAAACAAUAAUAAAAAUAAAAAUCUAAAUAAUUAAUUAAGCAGAAAUCAAAAUUUAUAAGUAUGCUUACCUUAAUGUUUGGUCCUAUAAAUCAAAACAUUGAGUAGGAAGAACCCUUUCUUUCACGCUUCAGCAUCUGUAAGCAAGAAAAUGAAUCACAAAAUAAAAUAUAACAUCAGAAUCACAAUUUAAAGAAUGAUACUUGAAAGGUUAUAAAUGGUUUCAAAGGUGAAUGAAAAUGAUUUAUGUAAUGUGAUGCAUAACACACACUUGAAUAAAAUAAUAAUAAAAACAUUGAAAGCCUAAAUAUUGUGAAAUAAUAUGAGUUCAUUCAUACAUAUAAUAAAGAUAAUUCAUUACGUAUACUACAAAAUAUAAUUAACUUGUGCUACUCAUUAUUAUCAUCAUUCCUAACCAUCACCACCAUAACAAUCAUCAUCAUCAUCAUCUUCUUCUUCUUCUUCACCAUCACCAUCACCAUCACCAUCACCAUCACCUUCUUCUUCAUCAUCUUCAUCUUCAUCUUCAUCUUCAUCAUCUUUGUUUCCCCAAUUCAUGUCAAGUUGAAUCAAUUCAUGUUGCCCAAUUUCUUCAUAAUAAGAUGAUUCAACAAGUAUAUUUGGAUCAUCAAGUGUUGGAGUAGGAAGGACACGACAUGGUUGAGAAAUCUCAUCUGAUUGAUCAACAUCAAAUGAUCUCACAUUGUUGGCAUCUUCAAUAAAUUCACCCAUGUCAACAUUAUAACGACUUCUAGCAGUUGUCUUAAUAACCGUCCACCAUUCAGAUGAUUUAUUACCAGGUGGAUAUGUAUAGUAGACUUGUUGACAUUGUUGUGCUAACACAAAAUCUUCAUUUCCAUGUAGUCGAGAUGUAUGCUUGAUUUCAACCAAACCAUUCGAAGGAUGCACUCUAAUCCCUCGUUUUGUAUCAUACCAAUUACAUUUAAACAUAAAUAACUUGCACUUACUCCCCAAGUAUUUUAGCCGAACAACUUCUUUAAGCAUUCCAUAAUAAUCACGUUCAUUAUCAUCAUAGCAACUUCCUUUCACACAAACUCCACUAUUCAUUGUCUUUUUAAAACGGCCAUAACGUUGAGUAUGAAAUUUAAAACCUUUCACAUAAUACCCAUUAUAACAUUUCACUGAAGUUGAAGGGCCCAUAGCAAGUCCAAAGAGCUGAUUUUCAAUUCCGUUAGAUUGGUAUUCCACCUAGCAUAAUAGUUAACUCCAUAAGAAAUAAUGAUUUAAAAGAGAUUAAUAAUAUUUUUAAAGUAGCUAAUUGACAUAAAAUAUAAAUUAAUUUUAUUAAAAUACUUACAUUAUUUUUUAACCAAUUUGGAAAGAUCGCUUCGCAUAAUUUUUCAAUUUCACCAUCACUCGCAUAUGGUUGUUGUGACUUUAGCUCUUGUCGACAUUGCCUAAAAUUUUAAAAUGUUAAAGUUAAUAAUAAAUUAUUAUAAAUUUAGUACAAAAUAAUAUUUCAUACUUACUCUAAAUAAGGCUUCAGUUCUUGACAAUUGAAUAUCACAUAGUUAUGCGCAAUUUGCAUUUCAGCAUGUGACAACUGCCUUUUAUAAAAUCUUUUGGAUAAUUUUUUCCCUGGAUAGGAAAAAAUAGAGAGACAUCCAUCUACACUUCUAAGGCCACCAUCAUCAUUCCGUGGAACUCGAUUCCAAAUUGUUUGCACGUCAUCACCAAAAUAAUGAGAUGCAAAAUUGGUAAUUUCAUCAAUCAAGUAUGCUUCACAUAUGGAACCCUUAGCUUUAUUGGUCACUUUCUUCUUCAAAUAAAACAUAUACCUAUAUCAUUUCUGUCAAUUAGUUUAUUUUUAAAAAAUAAAAAGUGAAUAAAAUUAACAUAGUAUGAAAACAUACCGUUCAAAUGGAUACAUCCAUCGAUAUUGAACUGGUCCACCAACUUUUGCCUCGUAAGGUAGAUGUAUCGUCAAGUGUUCCAUGGAGUCAAAGAAGGAUGGAGGAAAAAUCCUUUCAAGUUUGCAAAUUAUUUCAAUUAUAUUCAUCUGCAUUAACUCCAUAUGCUGGGCAUUUAAAUUUGUUGAACAAAUAUCUCGAAAAAAUACGGACAGUUCAGUUAAUGCCUCCCACAGUGGCCUAGGUAAGUAAGGUCGAAAAGCGGUUGGAAGAAGUCUUUGAAUGAAGACAUGACAAUCAUGGCUCUUCAUCCCCGAAACCUUACAUUGUGCCUCUUUCACACAUCGUGAAAUGCUUGAAGCAUAACCAUCAGGAAAUGAUAAUUCCUUCAUCCAUGACAAAACUUCUUGUUGUUGUUUCUUGUGCAGACAAUAAGUGCCUUUAGGUUUGUAAAGCCGACCACUCAUAUCUUGUUGCAAAUGUAAAUUUGGCUUCUGACAAUACAAUUGAAUAUCCAACCUAGCCUUUAAAUUGUCCUUGCUUCUAUUCGGACAAUCCAUUACUGUAUAAAAAAUAUUGUCAAAGACAUUUUUCUCAAUAUGCAUGACAUCAAGAUUAUGACGAAUCAAAUUUGUAUGCCAAUAUGGAAGCUCCCAGAAAAUGCUCUUCUUCACCCAAUUGUGCUUAACACCAAAGCCAGGAAUUUUAUCAUUAUAUGAUGAACCUCCAUUAUGUCCCUCAGUAUACUUGGACACUUCAUUUAACAUUUCCAAACCAGAUGGACGAGGUAAAGGAGGAAGCCUUUCAAUUACUCCUUUCAAAAACUUAUCAGAUUGAAAUCUAUAUGGGUGGUUCAUGGGUAGGAAUCGUCGAUGACAAUCAAAAAAUGUAGUUUUCCCCCCAUUUUUUAAUCUAAAAGCCUUGCUAUGCUCCAUACAAUAAGGACAAGACAAAUUUCCAUGAGUACUCCACCCCGAUAACAUGCCAUAUGCUGGAAAGUCACUAAUGGUCCACAUCAAAGCUGCCCUUAAUUGAAAAUUUUCCUUUCUGUAUACAUCAUAUGUUUCAACACCAAAAAACCACAAAUUCUUUAACUCAUCAAUCAAAGGUCUUAGAAAAACAUCAAGCUUUUUACCCGGAUUCUUUGGCCCAGAAAUCAUCAUUGUCAAAAACAUGAAUGGUCUAGUCAUGCACUUCCACGGAGGCAAAUUAUAAACAGUCACAAUUACUGGCCAACAAGAGUAUGUAUUUGAAGACAUGUCAAAUGGACAAAACCCAUCAGUGCACAACCCUAACCGAAUAUUUCUCGGAUCUGAUGCAAAGCUUAAGUGGACACGAUUAAACUCCUUCCAGGCCUCCCCAUCAGAUGGGUGCACCAUAACCCUAUUAUCAGACUUAUGAAAAUGAUGCCAUGUCAUAUCUUUGGCAUGAUAUGGAGACAUGAAUAGUCUCUGAAGCCUUGGUGUUAGAGGAAAGUAUCGGAGUUGCUUCUCCGCCUUAUUGGAACCUUUACUAGUUGGAUUUCUAGGUUUGUAUCGUGAACUUCCACAAAAAUCACAAUUUAUUUUCAUUGCAUCUGCCCCAUAGUACAGCAUACAGUAAUUAGGACACACAUCAUAUUUCUCAUAACCAAGUCCAAGUGGCCGCAUAAAUUUCUUGGCAUCAUAAAAAUUUGAAACCAAAUUUUCAUCAUUAGGCAUGCAACUUUUUGUAAAGUCAAUGAAAUUGUUGAAGGCAUUCUGAGUCAAAUUUAAAGUUGACUUCAUAUUAAGCAAUUGUACACAAGCAGAUAAUUUGGAUUGCUUGGUACACCCAUCCCACAACGGCUCCUCCGCAGCUUUCAAAAGCUUAAAAAAUUUAGUUGCAUCCGGAUUUGGAAUUUCUCCUGCUACCACAAGACUAGACACAUUAUCAUUGUAGAAUGCAUCACCCAACCCCACUGCAUCCAUAACCAUAUUCCUAUAUGGAUUCUCUAGACAAACAUCAUUCACAACAUGACUCAUUCCAAUCGAUGAAGGUCCAGCCAAUAUUGGUUCUGCGACAUAAGGCUCCCCAUGUACAAUCCAAUUUUCAUAACAAGGUAAAAAACCUUUUGUCAAUAGAUGUUUACAAACAUCAUCUUCCUUUAAAAACUUUUGAUUUUUGCACCUCACACAAGGACAUCUAAUUUUUCCCUCAGAUAUAUUUUUAUCAAUUGAAAAUGCAAAAUUGAUAAAUCUUCUAACACCGGUAAUGUAUUCAGGACGAAGGCGACCAUCCAUAAGACGACGAUACAUCCACGAUCGAUCAUCCAUGUUAAUCUAAUUAACAUGACAACACCAAUAAGCAUUUUUUGAAAUAAGCAUACUUCUUUAACUACUAGUACUUAAACAAUCUUUUAAAAUAAAAUAUGUUCGGUUAGUAUUUUAUAUUUUCAUUUAUAUUUUCUAACUAGUGACAAAAGUAGACUUUUAGAUUAUGUUCGGUUAGUAUUUUAUACAGCAUAAAUGGAUGAAGAAAAAAAUAUAUUUAGUUGAACAAAUAUUAAAUAAAUUUAUCUUUAUAAUAGUUUUGGAGUUCAUUUUUUUUAUUGGUCCUUCUAACUUUUGUUACCACCUCAAGUAGUUUUUUUUUUUUAUUUGGAUCAUUUUAUUUUUAUUGGAUCCAUCAAACUUUUUAUUUUUAUUCGGAUAUUUUUUUGCUCAACUAAGAAAUGGUAAAUGAAAUCAGAAACAUGCGAGGUAAUACAAGAUUAAAGAAUUUUUUUCAAUUUUUAAAAAAGAUAAAAAUGCAAUAUAAAAAAAAACAUAAUUUAUUAUGUGUUACAAUAGUUACUCACAUUUGUAUCUUUGUCUCUUAUCAUAUACAUUGUAUCUAUCUUUUAUGUCGUAGUGAAAUAAUAAUUAAAUAAUAAUUAUAAUACUGGUGGAUUAAAAUAUAAAUACAUUUGUUUUAUAAAUUUUGUAGGCACAAUCCAAUUUAGUUGAUUACAAGUUCUACACGGACGAGCAAUAAAUAUUGUUAAUAUUUAUGGUUAAGGUAAUGGAGGUGUGAAUAUAUUUAUGUUAAACCUCUUUCUAUGAAAUACUUAUUAUUUAUAUUUUGUUGUGUAAUCAAAGUUUAUAGUUAAACAUGUAAAUUAACUAUUAGUCUCUUGGAUGAGGAUUUGUUGUUGUAUUAUGACAUUUUUUUAAAAAAAAUAUCAAAUUAAUAUUCUUAUAUUUUUAAAUAAUUUUAAUAUAACAAUAUUAAACAAAUUAUAAAAAUUUAUUUUAAUAUAAUUUCAAUAAAAAAUCACACGACAUUAUUUUAUUUGUGUGGGUAUACAUGUUUUCCACGCGUAAUUAUAAUUGCAAUCACCGAAUUUAAAGAAUACUAUUAGUCUCUUGGAUGAGGAUUUGUUUUUGUAUUAUGACAUUUUUUAAAAAAAUCAAAUUAAUAUUCUUAUAUUUUUAAAUAAUUGUAAUAUAACAAUGUUAAACAAAUUAUAAAAAUUUAUUUUAAUAUAAUUUCAAUUAAAAAUCACACGACAUUAUUUAAUUUGCGUGGGUAUACAUGUUUUCCACGCGUAAUUAUAAUUGCAAUCACCGAAUUUAAAGAAUACUUACUUUUCCGUAAAACUCCUAAAAGUGGUUUUGCAUUUUCCAUAGUGUUGAAAAACAAUUUAAACAUUUCCUUCAAACAUCAAUAUCUCUCACCCAUUUCUCCCAUCUCUCCCUCAAAAUCCGAUCAACAGAAUUCAAUAUCAAAUUCAACAGAUUUCAAGCUGUUUCAACAGAAUUCUUAUUUUAUCAAUUAUGUUGUGCAUAUAGUAAAAGGAAUCAACUUUUCCAUCAUUGUAAUGUAAGUAUUGUUAUUUACCACACACCUAAAUGUGUAAUCAUGUUUCUGAGAGUUUGAUUGUACUCAAUAUCAGAUGUAAUGAAAGAAAAUCAUUCCAUUAGUUUUCUUAUACAAACUGUCAAUAUUGUCCCAAUGAAAGGCAAAGUUCCAACUACUUGAAAAGAUUACAAUAGGCAUGUUCUAGCAUAAAAAAUUACGCACGAUAUAAUUAAGCAACCAUGUAAAAAUGGAGCAAAAUAGACUUACCUAAGCCCCAAGAAUCAAUGGCACAAGGUGGAGGUUUUCUUAUUGCAACCCAAUCAGAUGUAGCAUAUUGUGAUCCAAUAAGCCAUUCAUAUUGCUGGAAAAAUAAAAAACAUAAACAGUAUGUUACACCCAUCAAGUUAUAACAAUUGCUAGUCUUUAAAACAAAUUAGUGCUUUCCUCUAUAAUCCUUUAUCCUUUGUGUGAUUGGAAAUGGAUCUAUACUAAUUAGUGCUUUGCUAGAACUGACUUCACAGUGUAAACAUCAAGCUCCCAUCUUUUAUAUUCAUUCCAAACAAGAUCAUGACCUUGUGAACCGAAAACAGCAAAAGAGUGUCUAAUAUUUCCAAUUUCACAAUUUAAAUGGUCAAGUCCAGUGACCUCACAGCACUUGACCCUAGCCUUUUCCACAAAUAAUUCUAACAAGCCCAUGCGAUUGCUUGUAGUUUGUUAACUGAUCCUAUAUCCACUGAUAAUGGCUAAGCAAGCAAAGAUUUUCACCAUCAGUUUGCAUCAUUCACACAGAGAAACUCAGCUAACUGACUAAAAAAUGAACCAUUGCACAAUGCUGGUGCAUUUUACAUGUAUCAUUACAGACAAACCUGCUAAAAAACAUGCAAUUGUUUCUGCAAUUACACAAGUUGGCUCCAAACAAUUUGCUACUUAGUUCAUGCAACAAUCAGAGUCAUCUAAAACAUGGAAUGUGGAAAGGAAAUAACUGGAAGUGUGAAUAAUUUACAGACAGAGUCUGAAGGUCUAGCCCACAAAGUAACAACUACUGGAUUAGGUAUUUUAGGAAGAAGGAUGUGUAUUUCUCAACAAUGACAGAAAAGUGAACUUGUGCCAUUUCAAAGGUUGAUGUUUAAAUAAUGUUCUUCUUUUGUACCAGCUUUUCAUAUAACAGAACAUAUGAUGAAACUCAUGCAUUGCCACAGCGAGAGGCCUAAUUAUUUGAUACAAGGAAGCAUUUACACGAAAUUGCUAAAAGGAAGUCAGUAAGCCCCAAUAAAAGAAGGGAAGAAGAAGGAUGAGGUUACUGUGGCAGCAAGCAACCAGGACCUAGGAUUUCAAUAUCUAAAUGCAAUUAUAUCAUGUAAUUAAUGUGCUAAGCUACUUGGUAGAUUCAUAACACUAUUCUAGUACAUGUAUUCAGUAAGCUUAUUAAAUAGAUUGAGGGUAAUCCAAAACAACAAUUACUGCAUAAUCCAAAACAGCAGCUGUGUGGGAAUAUAAAAAGGAUAUGGUGUAAAUUAUAAAUAAGAAGGAAUCGCAGAAAAUAAAAUCUUCAAUUAAUAAAAUUUAUUACUAGCCAUUUCAUCAAUUCUUGAACUGUUAAAACAUAAAACCAGCACAACAAUCAUCAGUUCAUCUUGAUAAGGUAAAUGCGCUUACUAUUUGAUCAUAGGCAUCUAUUCCUUCACUGUCUAACAGUAAGAGAUUGUACUGAGUUCCAUCAAGGUCAGUUCUCUAAUGUGGCAGUUCCUUUUGUACAUGGCCGAUGAGUGGAUGCUACUUGAAAUCCACUGCUCCUGCCAAGAAGAUACAAUACACAAUUCCACCUCUUAGUUAAUAACUGACACAUGAGGUCAGUUGCAGAAAUGGAAUGUCAUAACAAUUAACUCUAAAAUAAGCUUCAACAAACAAAAUUCCAGUAGACAUUCAUUGAUAAAUCUACUAGUGUACAUCUUAGGUAAAGGAAUUGUGCAUAACAUCUUAAACCCAUCCAGUUAUAACACUUGCUAGUCUUUUAAAACAAAUCCAAGUUAAACUAUGAAAAACAGAAAGGAUAUCCAAGUUAAACUAUUAAUUUUUAAUAUUUUUUUGGCACUUGUCUUCUCAUCACAAUUUUCUUCUUCUAAGAUCUAACCUGAAAAAUUUCAAUCUUAAACAUGAUUCAUUUUGAAAUUUUAAAAUAACUAGCAUUUAAUUUAUAACAAGGAACCAACUUAUGGUUUCCAAAAACAUAAUUACUAACUUAUAAAAUCAUAAAAAAUGCAUAGACUAAAUUAUAAUUAACUGUAAUUAACAAUGGUAGCAGAUGCAGAAAAUGGUAACAGUUUGUAUAAAAACAGUAAAUGACAUGUAGAAAAAUUGCAUGAACAAAGGAAGCUGGAUGCAUUAAAUGAUAUUCCAUGUAAAUGACAUGUAGUAUAAGAGCAUAAGACCUCAAAAGGACAAAGCAUUAAGGAGACCAUAUUAAAUAAUAGUAAGAACGCAACACACCGCUUUCAUGCCAAGAAGCACCCAAAGGCUGAUUAAUUAUUGAGGAAGAUAACUUGAUGCCACGCUUAAAAACCUAAGCCAUCAUAUUGAACAAAGUCAUGUCAGGACCCAGAAAUUAAAAAAAAAAAAAGCCAAAUAACAAAGCAAGCAUUAGGUACUGUAACAAAAUGAGCAAAUAUUACAGAUUUUUAUCCAAAAUUCAAUAGCUGAAGCAUACAUAUAGAUGAGUCAUAUAGCCAGUUCCAAACUCCCUAUUAUCUCUAGAAUGCCUUUGAGUUGAAAAAAAUAAAAUAAAAAAAAUUGUUAAAUUAAGAAAAUUUUUAAAAACAGAGAAAGAAUAUUAAAAAAAUAAAUGAAAUUAAAUAGUGAAAUUACUAUAUUUCAUGUACUAAAAAAUCAUGUCCCAUUUCUUACAUUGUUUCUCUAACUUUUUUAAAUUCUCAAUGUGACUAUCAUAUUAAAAGCCUGCCACCUAAACCAUUUGGUGAUCAAUAACGUUUCCAAAUCAUGCAUGCUGACCUCAAGACAGGACAAUCAAAUGAAAACAGCAACAUAUAUAGCUAAUGUGGGAAAUUAACUGAUCACCAUGCAAGGAGGAGGCAACCAUGAAUUCUAACCUCUUUCACUACACAAUUCUGCUACUUAUAUAUAUAACAAGUAAAACAGCAAGAAAAAAAAAUAAUGAAUGAAGAAACAAAAAUGAAAAAGCAAUCUUAUUAACGAAACACAACAUCAACAAGCAAGUUUCCUUAUAUAUAUAUAAGCAUAUGAAUACAUUCAAAACACCUAGGUGUCUGCACACAGGAGGACAAAAAGACUUGCAGACAUCAAAGAACACCCAGCAUCAAUAAUACUAAUUGUUAAAAAUUAAAUUGGGGGUUUUGAUAAAUUUUUAAUUAAACAUGCAUAAUUCCCAUCAAUCACUCUCUUCCAGACACAAGAAUUGCCAGCAUUCAAUUUAUGAACCGUAACCCUAAAAAUUAAUUUGGGGGUUUUCAUAAAUUUUCACUUAAACGUGCAUAAUUAGGAUAUAAAUCAUGGUAAAAACAUUUCAUAAACCUUAUAUUUUCGAAUUAAUAGCCUAAAACCAUUAUUCACAGUAUCGGGAAAAAAAAUUCUUACCUGUGUUCUUCAGUUACAGGUGAGGGAGAUGGAUCAACACGACAGAAUAACACCUGAGAUUGGAAAAGCUAGGUUAGAACUGUUUAGUGUAACUUAAAUUGAAACAAAGAAAACAAAAACCAUAAAUUAAUUACCUGAGCUAUCGAAGAAAACAAUGCAAAACCUAACCCGUUUACAGAGAAGGGGUAAAACAGGAUGUUCGAUGGUGAUGAUGAUGGAUUUGGUGCGAUGUUGCCAUGGGUCUCUGUUUUUGUUGGUUUGCAGAGAAAUAUUGAAACUGUUAAGAUGAAGGAGAAGAAGAUGAAGAAAAAAAUAGGGUUGCUGAAGACGAGUGCGAAGAUGAUGAACAGUUUCGGGUAAAGGAAGAUGAAAUCGAUGAAGAGAGGGUGAUUGUUGAACAGUUAGGAAUCGAUGUUAUUGGGGACGAAGAAGGAUACUGGAAGAGUGGCAGUGAAUUAAUUUUCAGCGUAAAUGGUUGUUGGAUCUGUAUUUCGGUGUGGGGGGAGAGAGUGAAAAUAAACGGUUCAGAUUUUAUGCAAUCAACGGUCUACAUAAUUUUAGUUUUAUAUUAACAUUUUAUUUUUAUUUUUUCAAUUAGCAACGGAAUAUCCGUUGCUAAGUUCAACGUAAAUUUUGCAACGGAUUAUCCGUUGCUAAAGUCCGUUGCUGAUAUUAAAAAAAUAAUAUAUGUCUCAUCCGUUGCAAAUCCGUUACUGAAUUUAGCAACGGAAUUAUCCGUUGCUAAAUUCAGAUGCAAAUACCCCCUGUUUUUAGUAGUGGCUCAACUCAUGACAUCAAUCAAAUGAGGAGCUAUCAAUUCAAAUAUAUAUAUAUUAGUUCAUAUUAAGAAUUUAGAUUCAGUAAUUGAUCAUUUUUUUAUCGUAACAAAAAUAAUAAUCAACAUAUAUUAUUAAGAAGUAUGAUCCAAUUCAUAUUAACAACUCAAAUAUUUAUACUAUUUCUCAUGCAUAUGGAAAAUUAUCAACUUACCUGAUUCAAAAGUGAACAAAACUCGAAAGCAGAUACCGAAAGAAAGCUUAUUGAUGUGCUCUAGGUAGAAUAUCAUGAUUAUCUAAAUGCAAAGGAGACAUAUUCAAAAAAUACUCGAAAAGAACGUACAAUCUGUUUAAUAUACUUAACUAAAGGUCUAUUUCAUAACCCUAUAUAUUUUUGAACUAAACUAGUCAUUUUUCCCCAAAAUUAAAAAAUUAAACGGUUUUCUUGAAAUUUAAUUCAUAAAAAAACAAAUAAUAAGACUUGAUAAUAAUUAACCAAAUAACCCUCAAUUAUUUAUCAAACCAAUCUGAAAAGACUGAUAUUACAGCUAGGGACCAAUCUAGAAUUUAGCAGAUUUUUAGGGGUCAAAUUGGAGGACCAAACUGAAAAUAUCAUAAAUUCAUAACUAUACUGAAAGUUUGCCCAUAAUUCAUCCUCAAUACUGUCCAGAAUCUAUAAUUAUGCUAGAAUUUUUAUUAAAAUUUUAGCAGUCAAAUUGUAUUUUUCUCAAAUUAAAGGACCAAACUGAAAAUGUCAUAAAUUCAUAACUAUACUGGAAUCUUGCCCAUAAUUCAUCCUCAAUUCUGUCUAGAAUCUCUAAUUAUGCUCCAGAGACCAUUUUAUAAAUUUUCAAAGUUUGGGGACUAAACUGUAAUUUUCACAAAUUAAGAGGCCAAAUUGAAAUUUCAUCAUCUUCAACCUCAAACCCAAAUUUUUCCAUAGAUCCUUACUGAUUUACCAAAAUCACUAACUCAAAUUCAUCAUUUAAACAUACCACAAUUCAAAAUCAUCAUCUCUAUCUAAAAUCUUUCAAAAUCAACUAAAUAACUCAUUACCCAUAACAAUUAACUCAUAAUAUUCAAAUCAAUUCAUCAAUCAACCCAAAACAAAAUCUUCAAAACCCUAAUUUUCAACAAAACAGUAAAUCAAAUAAAAAAAAUACAUUUAUACACAUCAAAACAUAAAUAUUACAUUUUAAACUUAUUUUCUCUAACUCUAUUCUCCUUCAUUUAUCUUUCUCUCCUUCCUCUUCUUUUUCUUCUUUCCCUUUUCUUCUCUCCUGCCAGUUUUCACUCUCAAAUUUCAGAUCCCUCUUUUUUUUUUUUUUUCUAUUUAUACUUAGCAAGAUUUUAUUCAAUUACCAAAAUACUUUUUAUUCAUUUAUAUUUACUUUUAAACCUUCAAACGCUUUGUUGCCUGGAACUUUGAAUAUUGGGAAAUCUGGCAUUUCUUCCAUUCCAAGCAAGCUAAUGACUAAGGGAAAGCAUCUUUCUGCAAUUUCUAUUUCCAUUGAACACCAUAAUCUCUUGGCAGCAGGAUGGAUGAAAAAAUAAAUCAUCUGUAUCAAUGCUCUCCUCAUGACUACUUGGAACACCUUGCUUAAGACAUCAGGAGAUCAAGAUAUUUAAUAUGAAAUUCAACACAAGCUGAUGAUCCCAGUUCUUUGCCAAAAGCAAAUAGUAACAGCAAAGUCAUUAGCCGAAUUGCUCCUCGGCAACAUCACUGUCAUGAUAAUUGCAUAUGUUCGAUCUAACAGUAGAAUCAAUGGUUGAAACAGUAUAAUGUACGUAAACAUGUUGAAUAGUUAGUGUGAAUAAAUAAAGCAGGUGAUUCAUGAAAGUGACAUAAAAUUUGUAUGGGCAGUGGGAGUAAUAAUUACAUAUUGAACAAAUAAAGCCCCUUUACAUGGUGGUUCUCAGGAGACGGUGGAAGUAAUAAUUGCAUAUUGGACAAUGAAAGCACAAAAGAAUUUGCAUGGUGCUUUCCAGAAAAUAGAGUGAUAAUUGCAUAUAGGACAGAGAAAGCAAAGGGAUUUGCCCUAUUGUUUUAUUUCUUUAGAGUAAACGGGUAAUUAUGUAGUCCUCCUUCAUGUUAAUCAAUUAAUUGCCUGUGCUUUCCUUCACGAGAUCAGCUGUUACUGACAGACUAAAAAUAAGUUUGCAGUACUGAUUAAAUUAAAACAACAAAAUAGGAUUGUUCCUUUUUUAUGCUGAUAUAGGAAAUGCGUAAUUUUCCCAAGUAGAGUUUCCUAAGUAGCAUAUGUUUAUCCAUGCUAGCAGCUGACCCGAGUAGUACUGUUAUUUCUGGCCAAGUGAUUUUCUUUGGAGUUUCGAUCUUCAUUAAUUGUUCUGGCUUUUUAUUUUAAAAAGUACAUAACACUGUUGUUUUAGCAUCUAACAGUAGACUCAAGGAUUUGAAGCAGUGUAAUGUGAACACGUUGAAUAGUUAGUGUGAAUAAAUAAAGCAGAAAGUGGCAUAAAGUUUGCAUAGAGGCCAAAGAAAGCACAGGCAGAAAGUGACAUAAAGUUUUAGCUUCCUGCCAAUUUCGAUCUAUUGCAAUGACUUUAAUAGCUAGUCUUCCACUAAGAGAGAUCUCUCUCAGUAUACCAUUGAUUUCCUAAUUUUCCUCACCAAAUUUCUUAAACCUUUCUCAUGAUCUGAGCUUCCUUUUCUGAUUGAAUUGAAUCAUCUCGUUUUGAGUUCUUCAUCUGUAUCUUUCUUGCUUGAAAGGUAAAUCCUACUUUCUUUUCUUGUUUUCUACCACUAAUUUUGUUUCAAAUAAGAUUUUCCCAUUUGGUUGUAGAAUAAAUAAGUAGGAUUGUAGAUUGAUCAAUCAAGUAGAGCUUAAUUGUAUAUCUGUUGCUUGAUCUAUUUUAGAACUCAAAACUCAUAUUUAGCUUUGUUUUUACAUGUUCAUAUUGCCAUCAACUUAAACUAUUUAUCUUGAAAACAGCUGCUCUCAAGGUUUCUUUUGUCUGUUGAGUGCCUCUUGUCAGCUUGACAGGUGACUAGUUUGACUACUCUUUCUCAUAUUCUUGUGCUUACAUUUUCAGAUCAGCUUUCCCAGAGUUUCAACAUUGGGGUGCGUCCAAACGUUUCCUCACUCAGCAAUUAGCUUCAGAUUCUCUUGUUAAAAUUCUUUCGAAUCCAGGUAAAGUAUUUAUAUGUCACGACCCGAAUCUUCUUCAUUUUGUUGCUGUUUUUGUUUUUGACAAGUAACUAUAGUUUGAAUCUUUUUAAGUAAAACACAAGUUGUACAACUUUUAUUGAGAAACUUUGGAUUUUGUAUCAUCAAUAGUUUCCAAAUAUAAAUAAAUUGAUCUUUCUUAGUUUUUAUAAAUAAAUUGCCUUAUGGAGUUCAUACCAAAUUCAUUUUUUUUUCUUUUUAUAUUCUUUGCUGUUUUUAACUUAUUAUUUUAGUUUCAACCUUUCCUUUUCCGAUCGGUAUUACUUACAUUAAUUUUAUUCAAUGUUUUGACUCUGUUUUUAUAUAUAGGGCAAAAUGGUUCAAUCAAACGACCCAUUUUGGCAACAUGUUGAGGAGAUGAAGUGCAUGUAUUGCGGGCGUCAAUUUGCUAAGGAUACUUCCAUUUCAAGGAUCAAAUGGCAUUUAUCAGGAGAGAAAGGGAAUGGUGUUGCAAUUUGUAGAGAAGUGCCUAAACAAGUUCAGGAAGCAGCUUUUCAAGCUAUGCGUGGUGGCAACAAAAGACAUAAAAGCAUAGCAAGUUCAAGCAAUGUUAAUGAUAAUGCCAUUUCCACCAAUCCACAAGAACAAAACAAUGAAGUCGACAAUUUGGCAGGAGAUGCAGGAAGGACACAAGCACCAGAUACAAUGGGUCAAGCACUUGAAUUAAGUUGGGUUGAGAUCAAUGAAAUGUUAAUGGAGGAUGAUAUAGAGAAUGGGACUGGAGGAGUAGUGCAGCCUGGUGGAGGAGCUAGCUCUUCUGGAGGGCUUACAGGCAACACAAAUGAGACUCCAGGAGAUCCAUUACCUACUAGCUCUACAAAGCUAGUGGGUCGAGCAUUUGAACAGAAUACAAAUCUGAUAUGGUCUUGGUUGAAGGAUGAUGAAGUCUCAACCAUUGGCAUUUACGGAAUGGGAGGAGUCGGUAAAACAGCAAUGCUGCAACAUAUUCAUAAUGAGCUUCUAGAAAGACGAGACAUUUCUCAUUGUGUUUACUGGGUGACUGUGUCUCAAAAUUUCAACAUUAAAAGAUUGCAAACUUGUAUUGCUAAAUGUCUUGGCUUCAAUCUUUCAAGUGAAGAUGACGAACUGCAUAGAGCUCGCAAAUUGUUAAAAGAACUAAGGAAGAAACAAAAAUGGAUUCUCAUUUUAGAUGAUUUGUGGUACACUUUUAAUCUACACGAAGUAGGAAUUCCUGUGCUAGUCGAUCUGAAAGGUUGCAAGCUAAUUAUCACAAGUCGAUCUGAAAGGGUUUGUCAAUGGAUGGAUAGACGAAGUGAAAUCAAAGUGAAGCCACUUUCGGAGAAUGAAGCUUGGGAUUUGUUCAAGGAGAAACUUGGACGUGACAUAUCACUUACUCCAAAAGUGGAACGAAUUGCAGUAGAUAUUGCAAGGGAAUGUGAUGGUUUGCCAUUGGGUAUUAUUACAAUAGCAGGAAGCUUGAGGAGGGUGGAUGACCUACAUGAGUGGAGGAAUACAUUGAAAAAAUUGAAAGAAUCAAAAUGUAAGGACAUGGAAGAUAAGGUAUUCCGGUUGUUGAGGUUUAGUUAUGACCAGUUACAUGAUUUAGCAGCACUACAACAGUGUCUCUUAUUCUGUGCAUUAUUUCCUGAAGAUCAUAAGAUUGGAAGGAAGGGGUUGAUAGAUAAUUUGAUCGAUGAGGGGAUAAUUGAAAGAAUGGAGAGCAGGCAAGAAGCAGUUGACGAGGGCCACUCGAUGCUUAAUAGACUUGAAAGUGUCUGCUUAUUGGAAAGCGCAAAGAAAGGGUAUGGUGGUUAUAGUUAUGUGAAGAUGCAUGACUUGAUUAGAGACAUGGCCAUCCAAACACUGCAAGAAAACUCUCAAUGCAUGGUUAAAGCUGGUGCACGAUUAAGCGAAUUGCCGGAUGCAGAGGAGUGGACAGAGAAUCUUACUAGAGUUUCACUGAUGCAGAACCAGAUUGAAGAAAUUCCUUCCACGCAUUCACCGAGGUGUCCCAGCCUUUCAACUCUACUGUUACGCUACAAUUCAGAGUUGCAAUUUAUAGCAGAUUCAUUUUUUGAGCAGUUGCAUGGGCUCAAGGUUCUUGAUCUGUCUUAUACAGGUAUCACAAAACUACCUGAUUCUGUCUCUGAAUUGGUGAGUCUCACUGCAUUACUGCUCAUUGAUUGUAAGAUGUUAAGGCAUGUACCGUCAUUAGAAAAGCUCAGGGCACUGAAGAGGUUAGAUCUCUCUGGUACUUGGGCACUUGAAAAGAUGCCUCAAGGCAUGGAAUGUCUAUGCAACCUGAGGUAUCUUAGAAUGAAUGGAUGUGGUGAAAAGGAGUUUCCUAGUGGGUUGUUACCUAAGCUCUCUCACCUGCAAGUCUUUGUAUUGGAGGAUUGGAUUCCUUUUGGUACCAAAGAUAAUAGAAGAGAACAACCUGUUCUGAUAACAGUUAAUGGUAAGGAAGUGGGAUGCUUGAGGAAGUUGGAAAGUUUGGAAUGCCAUUUUGAAGGUUACUCAGACUACGUGGAGUAUCUCAACUCUCGGGAUGAAACCAAAUCACUAAGCAGAUACAAAAUUCGCGUAGGACUACUACUGUAUACGUCUUCUUAUGGUUGUUAUAAUGGAUGCAGAAGGAAAACAAUUGUUUGGGGUAACUUGAGUAUCGACAGAGAUGGAGAUUUUCAGGUCAUGUUCCCAAAGGACAUUCAACAACUGACCAUUCAUAAUAAUGAUGAUGCAACAAGUUUAUGCGAUUUUUGGUCUCUAAUAAAGAAUGCAACUGAACUGGAGGCUAUCAAGAUUAGUGAUUGCAGUAGCAUGGAGAGCUUGUUUUCAUCUUCUUGGUUCUGCUCUGCUCCACCACUGGAGAGCCUGGUUUCAUCUUCUUGGUUCUGCUCUGCUCCACCACCAUCUCCAUCUUAUAGUGGAAUAUUUUUUGGUCUUAAAGAGUUUAGUUGUUAUGAAUGUAAGAGCAUGAAGAAGUUGUUCCCUCUUGUCUUGCUGCCAAGCCUCGUAAACCUGGAACGCAUUAUAGUUGGUAUCUGUGAGAAAAUGGAGGAGAUAAUAAGUGGAACAAGAUCAGAUGAAGAAGGGGUUAUGGGUGAAGAAAGCAGCACCGAUCUCAAACUCCCCAAGUUAAGAUCUCUGCAAUUGACGGGAUUACCAGAACUGAAAAGCAUUUGCAGUGCAAAACUGAUUUGCGAUUCUCUCGAAUACAUUCAAGUAAGGAAUUGUGAGAAGCUGAGGACGAUGGGAAUUUGUCUUCCGUUGCUUGAUAAUGGCGAGCCAUCUCCUCCCCCUUCUCUCAGAGAAAUCGAUGCAACGCGAAAAUGGUGGGAGUCAGUAGUGGAGUGGGAGCAUCCUAACGCGAAGGAUGUCCUUCGUCCCUUUGUAAGUUUUGAGGUAUGAUAUGAGUCUGCCCUUAAUAUAAUAUAAUAAAAUAUUGAAUUAAGUUCAGGUGCUUACUGGUUUUAUACUUUGAUUAUAUAAAUAUAAUAAAAUAUCGAAUUAAGUUUAGGUGUUUGGAAAUGGUUAUGCAGGCUACGGAGCUACUUCGGAAAUUGGCUCAGGCUCAGGCUCUGCAGGCUCAGUUGAAGAAGAAGAUUAAUAAAGUAUCGAAUUAAUUUUGCUGCUGCUACUUCCGUUUCGAGGAUCAAAUGGCAUUUGUCUCAAGUCAGGGGGCGUGGUGUUACAAUUUGUAGUAAAGUGCCUGAAGACGUUCAAGAAGCAGCUUUACAAGUCCUUUUUUAUAUGAAGCUGUGUGUGUAGGUUAGCAAAAUUACUACCAAAUCCUUUUUUAUAUGAAGGUUGUUGGUGUUUUUAGAAGGGUGAAAUAAUUAUUUUAUUGUUAUAAUCUACAAUAAAUUGUGUCUUUGUAUACAUUAUGAGCUUUUUUUUUUUUUUUUUUUUUGUAAUUCUGUUAAUUGUGUCUUGGUGUACUUUAGGCUCAAAAUUAGGUGUGAAUCAAAUGAAUCAUCAUAUUUUGAAAGUCACCGUGGAGCCCCUUCCCUAUUUUCUUUAUUAAAUGUUUUUUCUUUCUUUUGUUAGACGUGAUUUCGAAACAAUUCAUUAGACAAUUACUACUAAUUAGUCCUUUUUUUUUUUCCAUUGUGAUUACAACAAAAUUUUAGUAGAGUUUUGUAUGUAUUUACAAUAUUUCAAGCUAUUAUAGUUCAAAAUAAAUAUAAUCCAAUCUAAAUUCUAACAAUUCAAUGCAGAACAUUUGUUAAUACCUUUACCCGUGGAUUCAUACUUAUAUAUAUAUAUAUAUAUAUAUAUAUAUAUAUAGAAUUGCAUUCAUUAGACAAUUACUACCAAGACCCUCUUUUUGGUUGUGACAUUAUAUAUAUAGAACUCAUUCCCAGGAUGAAUAAAAUUUCAAAGUUUGAUAAUGAGCUAAAAAAUAAUACAUUAUCUUUUCCUUGCAUUACUUGUAAUCAGUCCAAAAAACUCAAAUUACAACCCUAAAGCGUAAAGCAUGGUGGUAAUUGGGCUGAGAGAGCGGUGCCUAAGAGUCAGUAGUGGAGUGGGAGCAUCCUAACGCCUUCGUUUCUUUGUACUUUUUAAAUAGAGGAUGAGUGACGCAGUGCUCUUAAUAUAAUAUUAAAUUAAGAGUAAGCAUUGUGGUUUUAAUUGGAUUAAGCUUAAGCUAUGUGUCAACAAUCUUAUGAAUAGUAAUUGUGUUUCAAUCUUAUUAAAUUACCAACCAUUUUAUCCACUUCUUUUAAUUUAAUCCUUUUUUUUUCAAUCUUAUAUGGGCUCAUUAAAUUUAAAGUAAUUGUGUUUUAAUUCAGUGAGUCUACAUUAAAAUGCAAGCGCAUGAAUAGUGUUUUGGUUCUGCCACAAGCGUAUUGAAUUUCCUAUAAUAAUUAGAAUAUAAUAUAUAGUUUUAACCCGCAUUUUACCACUUAAGUAAACACCAUUUAACAAUAAUAUAAACUAUUUGCAAUUAAUAAAAGGGACUGGGUCCAUUUGGUCCCAGGAAAGAGCCCCAAUAAGAAAACAAUAAAAGCCCAGGCCCAUAAACAUUUGACCCAGGGAAGAUCUACAGUGACACAGUGGUUGAUAAACAACCACAUUAUUAACACAGUUGAAAGUUACGGUAAUUCGUAUGCCAUAGCCAUUAUAACAAUCAAUGAAUAUAGCAUGUCACCGAAGCAAAAAUCCUUUUCUUUUUAAUGAAUUUUGACCAUUUUUAUGCCCGAGGUUGAUUUAAAAAAAAAAAUAUCAGUGAUCUGAUAUUUGGUAUUAUGAUGUUGAUAAAGUAUUUUUUAUAUAUUAAAAUAAUAUAUUAUUUAUUUUUAAAAUUUAUUUUUAUAUAUUAAUACGAUCUAAAAAAUAUAAUAAAAAUUAAUUUUAAAAAAUUGAUUUUUUUACAAAAAUCGCCAAACAUGCUAUUUUGUGAAGCAAGUUUGAGUUCGUACUUAGAGGUUUCUUUUUCUCUAUCCUUUCUCUACACACACUUAACUUCUAAACAAUGCAUUUGAAAAACUUAAAAAUCAGAGAAUAUUAACCUUCAGAUGAUUAAUUAAAUGUAAACUUAAAUACGAGCUGAAAUUCCAUGAUCUUCCCAUUUUCUCUGAUUAAUUUUAUCAGUGGCAAAAAGGGUGCAUGAAGUCCCCAUAAUUACAGCUUAAUGCACGUGAAGCUGGUCCCCGUAGCCUCUCUCUUUUCUCUGAUAUUACUCAAUAUUAUGCUUAAUGUCAUCUCUCUUCAGUGUUUUCUCCUCAAUGCAUUGACAGGAAAGGUGCCUGCAGAACUUGCCAAGUUGGUCAACCUGACAGAUAUGUAAGCAGACACUUUUUCUUUUUUUGUGCGUCUCUUAAUUGAAUCACAGGUCUACGAACCAAAAAACGAUAAAAAAAAAACAGAUAUGCAAUCAGCCUCUCUUACCACAGGAAAUGUUGCUGAUUUUGAUGCCAAAAAGUCUCACAUAUUAACUCUUAACAUGCCCGGAUUGUUUCGAUCUUUCAAUCUUCAAUGCUGAUAAUUCAACCAUGCACAUGGAUCAAAUUCAGUGGAAAUAAUGUUAUUGCAAUUCUUCAAAUAUUGUUUUUCACGUGUAUGUUCUUCAUCUUUUUAUCAAAAUUUUAUGCUCAACAAUAAUACUUUCAGUAAACUCUUGAGUUUGUAUUUCUUUGACACCUUUUAGGAGGAUGAAUGAUGAUAAUUUAUCAGGGAAAUUACCUGCUUUUUUCAGUAAGUGAACACAGGUUCAGAAUAUCUGUACCUUCUAGCAUUGUUUCCUUGACCAGACUAAGGAAGUGAUUAGUAACCAAACAGAAUAUCUGAAUUCUGUUUUUAUGUACAUGUAAUAUGCUUAUGAUACCAUGCUUUUAUGCUCUAUGAUACUUGAAGGAGGAUCAGUGACUUAACAGGAAGAGGGUCUUAUUACCCACCACUGAGUAAUAUGGAAUCCAUAAAACAUUGUGAGUUGGAGUUCUUCUAAUCUUAUGUCCUUUUCAGCUAAUGCUCUUGACCUUUGAUUUGUACAAUGAUUUUAAAAAUGCAGGGUUUUGAGGAACUGCUUAAUAUUUGGAUAGGCCCCAGACUAUGUUGGGGAGCUGGAAAAACUGAAAUGUUUGUAAGUGGUUCCAUCCAGAGGCUCCCUAAUGAUUCCCUUUCAAAGCAAUCAUUGUCAAUAUGAUUAUCAUUUGCUUUCUUAAGAAAUGUUCUUGAGAGUUUCCAUGAUGUUUUGUGUACCACUAAACAUUAUGAGAUGAAAUUCUGUGAAAUGGCUUGUUCUCAAGGACUCCAAUUACUCUUCAAUGGCCUUGGAAAGGGCCAGAUAGGCUCUCUCUCACAGGCUCAUCAUUGUCUUACAGCGCAAUCAUACAAGAUUUUCUGUUUGAAUCAAUUUUAUCUUAGAAAACGAUUUGAUUGUCUUUAAGCUUUCAGUUGAAAGUGCAAUUAAGAGCUACGGAAAACCCCUUUUAAUUUGUCGACGUACUUGACAGGAAACAAGUUCACUAGAUCUGUUCCUCAAUGGCUUCUGAAAAGAAACAAGAAUGUGCAUGUCGAUUUCCGCCAGAUUUAUUUUCAACUUGGAGUUCUGCUGCAACCCAAAGAAUUCCUGUUUCAAAUGUGCAAGAGGUCAAAUGUUCUCCAUAAAAUUGCUUAGGUUUUAUAUGUAGAACAGAAAACAAAGAAAACAGAGCAAAUUAUUAAUUCUUAGCCAUGAGUUUGAGGAUGGAACUUUUCAUUGUUGAAGGAAACCAAUUAAAGCUUGUGUACAAUUGCCUGUCCCGUGCUCUAUUUGUUGAGUUUAUUUCUUCCAUUCAUCAGAAGCAUUUCUUUUUGAGUUAUUGCUUUGGAAAUUGUCAGUAAGAGCAACACAAACUACAGGCCAAAGGAGGAGUUUGUUUACUGUUGGGUUGGUUGUCAUUAAUGUGCAACAACCAUUGACAAUUGCAGCAGCUGCAGCUGGAGUUGCACCAACCAUGUGCACUCAUCCAAGAUGUCAAAGGUUGGCAGCCACCAUUGUUGAAGAAGAGCUGGAGGAGCUGCCAUGGAUGCCUAUAAAUAGAGGCAUACAUUAGAGAGCAAGAUGAGAGAGUUAAGAGAGAGUGUGUAGAGCCAAAGAUGUGAGAAAUGUAGGAGAGAAUGGGCUGCCAAGGCAGCCAGCAGUAGCUGUCAUUGCAGCACUAAGAAGAGAGAAAUAGAGUGAGGUUGAGAGUUGCCAAAGAGGGGAUGAUUCCUCCUUCUCUAUUGUUGUAAAUCUUGUACUCUCCCUAUAUAAUGUAAUGGCUUCUCCCGUGGAUGUAGGCGGUUUGCCGAACCACGUUAAAUAUUGUGUCUGUGUGCUUAGCCUCCAAUGGGCAAAUAUCAGAACAUCACCGGUCGGAAUUCCCUACAAUUGCCUGAUGAACGGCACAAAGGAACAGUUGAGUUCCGUAUGUUCAAGGAUCUGAUGGAGUGGUGAUUUCUCCAAAGAAGUUAGAUUCGGUGACUGUAAUUUCUCGAAGGGAGAAUUAAUGAAGACCCUGAUAAUGGAAGAGAAAUACAGCAAGGGGAUAAAGAUUGGCACCCUAUUUUGACUUGGAUAAAUGUUGUGACAGGAUGAGCUGCUGUCAAACAUAAAAGCAAAGAAUAGGGAGAAAUCUGGAGAACCGAAAUUGCACGAGAGCACACGGAGAUUGUGCAGGAGUACCCGAAGGAUCCAACGAGGUACUGUAAUGAGACGAUAGGUGCAAGGAGAAGAAGAGUUCCCAGAUGAAGCUCAGAGAUUAUAGUUGAAGAGAUUAUAGUUGAAGACUGUGAGAAGAUGGAGGAGAUAAUAGGUGGAACAAGACCAGAUGAAGAGGGGGUUAUGGGUGAAGAAACCAGCAGCAGCAAUAUCGAAUUCAAACUGCCAAAGUUAAGAAAUAUGAAAUUGAGACGAUUACCAGAACUGAAAAGCAUUUGUAGUGCAAAAUUGAUUUGCGAUUCUAUCGAAGUAAUUGAAGUAGAAAAUUGCGAGAAGAUAGAGGAGAUAAUAAGUGGAACAAGAUCAGAUGAAGAAGGGGUUAAGGGUGAAGAAAGCAGUAGCAGCGAAUUCAAACUCCCAAAGUUGAAAUUGUUGGUAUUGACGGGAUUACCAGGACUGAAAAGCAUUUGUAGUGCAAAAUUGAUUUGCGAUUCUAUCGAAAGAAUUGAAGUAAGAAAUUGCGAGAAGAUAGAGGAGAUAAUAAGUGGAACAAGAUCAGAUGAAGAAGGGGUUAUGGGUGAAGAAAGCAGUAGCAGCGAAUUCAAACUCCCAAAGUU